This 59461-nucleotide long non-coding RNA is filed under the name Homo sapiens (human). Its description in RNAcentral is "non-protein coding KCNQ1OT1:8". The record is from RNAcentral. Lineage: Eukaryota; Metazoa; Chordata; Mammalia; Primates; Hominidae.
AUCCAAAAGGCUGAUGAGCAUGUGGAAAGGUGUUGCGCCUGACUAGCAAUCAGGGAAAUGUAAAUAAACUCAGGAGCUCAUGGCCCGUGGGGGCGAGUGGCAGACUUCCAGCAGGAAACCACACAGACAUUACUUAGUCACAGCCAGGAGAAGGGCUCAGAGUGAAAGGGCUCUGUGCCCAUGACAUCCUUAGAGAGACCAGGGAAGGACCUGUAAGGCUUGAAGAAUGUGCAGAUUUGGAGACCCACAGGUCUGGGACCUGGCAGAAGCAUGUUACUGCCCCCAUUUUAGAGAUUUGGGGCUGAGAUUCAAGUACCCUAGGUUAUAUAAUGCAGUUGUCAAGUGACAGAGCUAAAACUUCAUCCAGGAUUCAAUUUUUUUUAAAGGAAGGAAGAAAGAAAAAACAUAUUUUGAUGUUUGCAUCACUUGUAUGUAGAAGGAACGAUGGAGCACAGGCUAGAACGUAGAGUUGCUUUCCAAACACCCAUGAUGACAAGUGCCCAUCUCCAAAGCCUGAGGGCCAAGGGUGAGCCACCUGACCCCUGAGGAAGGUUCUGUCCUGGUGUUUUAGGAAAUUAAAAUGUGCACAUCAGUUGGCUGCCCAGAGUGGGUGGGACCUGCACCUGCCAGAGAGGAAUGUGUGCUUUUUGGUUUAAUCCUGGGAACGGCAUAUGGGGCCCCUAUAACAAGGGGCAGAGAAGGCCUCCACAGAUUUGUUUUUCCAAUUCAAGAGGAGAGGUUAUUGUCUGCUGGCUUGUGUGUUGGAGACUGUGGGGCGUGCUUUCUCCACCACAGGGAGGCAGUGACCAGAGCUGCCACCUCUUCCCUGUUUUCACCUGUGGUCGUAGCCAGGUCAGGCAUCUAGGAGAGCAUGGAGGGGAGCUGGGGGUGGGUGGGUGGGGAUUCAGCUCUUUCCAGACACACUGGUGCUGCCUCUUUCAGGCCAGGGCUUGAGGGCAAGUGCUGUGCCCUAACAGGUCUUGCUUGUCACCCCCACCUCUGAAGUGGGUAUUUCACAGCCUGAACUCACAGCUGCAGAGAAGGUUGAGCCCAUGGUGUACUUGAAAGGGCAGUUCAUCUGGAUAUCCAGGCUCUGCAGGAGGUACCGGAGCAAUGCCAGGUGCCCUUUGCUGAACUGCCUAGAGUGGCUGGCCCUGGGGACAAAGAGCACAGCAUCCUGGUGACAAUGAAGUCACACUUUCCUAAGACAGUCCUGGUUUUUGAUGCUUUAAUUCUUUGGCUGCCUUUGCUUUGUCAAGGCCAGGAUCUGGGCCUAAAUUUUCAGGGCAGAACAAAACAAUUUUGUUUUCUAGGAAAGUGGGAGGUCUGGGAUGGCAAAGGCAGCCUCGGGCGUGGCGACUACCCCAGCUGGGGACGCUGGCUGCCAAGUCUCACCCUCUCAAGAGAACAGGAAUCAAACUCAGCACAGCAUCCUCCUUUCUAGUCAGUGGUCCUGCUCGAUAGGGGGAUUUGAAUUUUAUUUUUUUAAAAAUACAGGCACAGAAAAAAGACUAGAAGGAAACAGAUCCAAAUGUUAACUUUGUCUUUGGGUGAUUUUCAUUUCCUUCCUUAUUGUGUCUGUGUUUUCUAUUUUGCAUGAUACUUUUCCAAGUCAAGAAACAAUAAUUUGUGGAAGUCUCCUGUAUCUGUGCCUUGCUCUCUGGCCCACGACCUUGCACAUCUUAUCCUAGAGUUGCCAGAAUAUGUCCCUCCACCUGGCCUGGAGCUGCCCAUGAGGCUACAUAGAGCUCUCCUAUCAUGAAAGUCUUUGAGGCUUUCUGUUCCCAAGAAAUUCUGGUCUCACUUCCUCUGCCUUCUCAUCGAGCCCCAGACCCCUCCCUGCCCAGAUUAGGUCAGCAUUCAAGCCCCAAGUCCAGCCUAUGACAAAGCUCAAAGCUCCAGCCCAUCUCUGCUGCCCUCUGCCCUCAAGAGACUCUCGCCAGUGUCUGGGCCCUUCCUAGUAACUUCACCCAACCACUCACCCCCUGCCCUUCCCCUCCUGAUUGAUUAAAAUCCGGCCUAAUCUCCCAGGUGUAACCCAAGCCCUCUUCCACAAGCUUUCCAGGGCUCCGGAGAUUGCCCCCUCCCCUGUACGGCUGCAGGGCUUAUGUGUGCCUGGCGCUCAGCACGGGAACCUUGCCUUCUGCCUCACCCAUGUCUCCCCAGGGUUUGGCACAGGCGAGUUCCCUGAGCCAGCCUACUUCACAAGGAUGAACAGAAGCUCUCCCUAUCCUUUGCAAGUAGAAGCCCCCUCCCUGGCCCCCUCAAGAAAUCUCCCCCUCUCAGUGGAUUCACCAAAGCCCUGCGGAUCCUGCACUGUGAAGGAGAAGCCCUCCCCAGGGGCAUCCGGACAGCUGCAGCCAGGCCCUGCGUGACAUUGCUGAGCCGCAGCCCCACAGCCUGUGCCAGCUGCCCAUGCCCGGCUCAUAGACCCUGAGCCAGAGUGGCCCCGCCACCACCUGUGUCUCCACUCAGAGGCGAGAAGUAAGGGACAUGGAUGGAAAGUGUAAAAGCCAUUCCCACAACAGCUGCCAGGAACAAGGCGAGGAAUGGAGUGAAAAUGUAUAUUCACAGCUGGCACCCAGUUCCGCUUAGGAAAAUACCUUGCUUGAGUGGACACCUGUUGUUUUUGCCUGCCAGCAGCCAGGCCUGGCUUCUGGGAACAGCUUCUCAAAUCUUCCUUAGGGGGCUCUUCCUUUCCCACUCCUAGUGUGCAGUGUUUAGGUACCCUCUGGCCAUCCCCAAAGGGGUCCCUGUGGACCUUGCCUCAGCCAUCGGAGGUACAGCUGCAGGUCCAAGGAUGGCUUGUACCCCAGCUGAGGCCAAUAAGAACCUGGCCUUAGAUUCUGGCAGGAAUCCUGGAAGAGAUGACCUCGUUCUGCUGGGCUUCCUGAGCUGUUGAAUGCAAGCUGGUGGCCAUUUUGCCCCUUUUAGAAAGUAGCUGCCUAAGGAUACAGCCAUCCCAUGGGGCCAAUGGAUAGAGAGCAAGGGAAAGGGAGAACAAAAGAGGGAACGGGAAGGGAGAAGGGGAGUGCAAGAGGGGAGAGUGAGAGCAAGUGAGCAAGAUCAUCUCAGCUCUGGGGUCCAGCUGUGUCUGAAACAGCUGGGUCCAGCUGUGUGAGCCAAAAAAUGUCCCUUUUGUGCUUAAGCUUGUUUGAGUUGGGGUUCCAUCAUUUGUUACCAAGAGAGUCUUCAGGAAUGUGCAUGACAAAGUUGGGGGUGAGGUGUGAGCCUACGGACAUGGGCCUGGGGGCAGUCAAGGUUACAAAAUAGCUAAACUGGUCUGCACUGCCCCCACUAGUUUUCAGGGCAGAGGGCAGGGAGAAGGCUUGUGGGAAAGAAGCUGGCCUGAGGCCAAGGCCCUGGCCCUAGCCCUGCAACAGCACAGGGAACUCUUGGAAAGGGAUUUCCUAAGGUGGGACAUUGGCUUUCUACUGCUGUGAUGCAAGUCCUCAUCUCCCCAAACCUUCAGUGAGCCUCUCUCCACACCCUGCUGUAUGAGGAUGUUUGAUGCAAAUUAUGGAACAUGUUGGAUCUCACAUUGGAUCAAAGGUGUGCAGAAUAGAUUUGCCUCAAGCAUGACAGUGAUGUGACACAGUCAAAGAUGACUUCCGGAAUCCUGAGAAGUCCCAGGGAGGAUGCUGGGCUUUCCAAAACCUAAGUUUAGGAUACUGAGGACCACACCCCACACCCCAAACACUUCUCCUUAGAAUAAGUAUAGCAAGCCUCAGCAUACACAAAUCUCAGAGUGAACGGAAAUGUCUCUGCAGGCCCAAGGGUGGGGUCUGAGUAGCGGGGGCGCUGAGGAAGACAGGCAGUGACAGAGCCAGGACAGGGUCAACCCUGAGCGUGAGUGAGCCCAGGAAACGGAAAGAGAGCAACACAGCCACCCACACAACUAAAAUCGACCCACCCGGGUCUCCAUGCUGCAGGAAGUCACUGUCUAGGUCUCCCAAGACACAUUUUCAGGGGAAGGUUCCAGGCAGCAAGAGCAGCCCUAGGAAACUUUAAUAUACAAUGGAAUCUGGGUUAAGCACUAUCUUCUCCAAGAGUUGAGCUCACAGGACAUUCCCCAGAAACCUCUGGAGAGGUGGGGAGGAAAGUUUCUGGAGGUCUUUGGAUGGAGAAAACAAAAAAGUGGCCUUGAUUUUCAAGACAAAAUUACACAGGAAGAAAAAAAUGUUUUUAAUCUAAUUAAGAGCGAUCUUUUCACCUUCAUCACAACAUCGCGGAAAUGUGCCAGUUCUUAACUUCACACAAUAAUCAAAGCAAUUAGUGAGGGAGAAGCCUUGGAAACCGGUGCAGAUGUUCUCAGAAUGUUUAAUGGGGAAAUGAGUUGCAGGCCUCAUUCUCAGCAUCCGGCUCCAGGCCCUGGCUACCAAAUCCAGACAUCUGCUGGGGCCCCACCCCCAGGCCCCGAGGGCGCGGGCUUGAGAAACACAGGUCCCUUCCCAGGCCACCUCCCAGCCAGGCCAGAACUGGGGCCGAGAGGCUCCCCAUAGCUUCUCAAAUUGGAGCCUGGACACAGUCAGAGCCACCCCAGAACUGGGGGGAGGCUCAACAUCAAAAUUAUGUUAACAACUGAUGUCAAAAGUAAUCAACUCAGCUUGGCUCCCCCACUGCUGCUGGCUGCAGGAGGGCUGUGAGUAGGAGGAGAGCAAGCGGCCCCAGAGGGACCCUCGGCUAUGACCCCCUCAGCCUGAACACUACUUCAAGAAAAGAUGUGGUGGCAUCUGUCUGGUAUGGUCCUGUGGGCUCCAUUCCAAUGCUAAUGGACUCUUAAGGGGCCCAGGAAUCAAAAUGGUCAACACUUGAGGAAUUUCCAGUAAUCAGAGAAAACGUAUAGAAAUGAGGAUGAUGCUUACUUAGGAAAUGGCCUAUUACAGGAAACAGAGGGCCACGUGGCUAAUGUCAGUGAGCUGUGGGAGAGACAGAGACCCCAGGUGGGGCAGGCAGAUCAGCAAAUCUUGGAGGACCUGCUAUGUGGCAGGCACUGGAGACAUGGAGGUAAAGAACACAAUAUCCAUGUUCUCAGGGACACACUCAUAUGCCCUUAGCAUUCACGUUCUUCACACUGACAGCUUCUUAAUGCAAGCCCACCAGAUACUUUCAUAAGCACUACCUCUGACUUCAGGCACUUGCUGAGCUGCACACAGGGCAGGCCAAAAGGAAUGGAAAGUGAGCCACCACCGGGGCAGCACUCACUAGUGAAAGAUAAAUACCCCAGCUCUCUCAGCCGCUUGUAGAACUCUGAGGAGUGUUCUGUGCAGCUUCCCAGCUGCCCACCAUGAAGCUCUUUCUCAAUAAGUGACCAGCACAGCUUAAUUCCUGAAUUAAGCUGUGUGUGCUGUGAGACUGACACAAGACAGGGUGACAGGAAGCUGUCGGAACAUUUGAGUAGGGAAGCAGCAAGAUCCACUGUACAUUUAAAGAACUCCCUUGAGCUGUUAUGUGAAGAAUGGAGUACAGGAAGCAAGAGUGGAAAUCAAGAGACCAGUAAUGAGGUAUGGACAACAAUGUAGGCAGAGAAAUGGUGGUGGUUUUAACCAGGGAGAUAGCUGGAGAGACUAGGUGUGGGCAAAUCCAGAGAGUUGAUAAGACAUACUGAUAGAUUAGAAAGGGGUACUAAGAAAAAAGGAUAAUUUAAAAAAGACUUUCAGCCAGGCUUGGAGAAAAAUAGCAUGCUGCUCCUCAUCCCCUCUGACUAUAAAUCAUCUCACUCAUCCUCCCCUAAAAGCAUAAAAUCAGUAAGUGCAAAUAAAACCACAUGACCCAUGCUGUUAGCAGUAUUAGGAGAAAGAAUACCUUCAAAUUGCCUGUGGGUAGCAAAGUGAGCCAAAUUCCAAUAGCAUUCUAGUCCCCUGCCCAGCACUGCAAAACUGCAUACAGAAUCAGAGAAGAGGCUUAAAAUGCUUUGUCAAAAAGUUUGAAGGUAGUUAGCAACAUCAGCAAAAAUAGAGGAGUAAGUACCUCUAAGGAGCCUUCUUGCCUUCACAGACAUCCUAAGCACCAAGCAGCCUAAGCCACUGAUGAACUUGCAGAUACCACUGAUGUGGAUUAUAGUCUAAUUAAUUGUAGAGACACCACACUUCUGCACUGAACCAGAACCAAAGCCAAAGCACCCUACCCAAAUGAUACUACAGACGCGUGUACAGGAAAAGUCCUUACUAAGGCUACUCCAUAAAAUUGGAAGUCUCUGUUAUUCCAGAUAUGCAGAUAUCAACUUGGGGACACAAAAAACUUGGGGGGAAAAAAACAAGAAAACAUGACUUGCCAAAAGAACACAAUAAUUCUCCAAUAAUAGACUCCAAAGUAAAGGAAAUCUUAAGGAAACCCAAUGAGAUACAAGAGAACACAAAUAGACAAUACAAACAUAUCAGGAAAACAAUUCAUUAUCUAAAUGGGAAAUCCAGCAGAGUUAGAUAUGAAAAAGAACCAAACAAAAAUCCUGGAGGUGAUAAAUUAAAUGAAUGAAAUAAAAAAUACAAUUGAAAGCUUCAAAAGCCGGCUAAGUCAAGCAGAAGAAAUAAUUUCUAAAUUUGAAGACAGGUGUUUUGCAAUAAACCAGACAGAUUUAAAAAAUAACAAUAAAAAAGAAUGAAGAAUGCCUGCGUGACAUAUGAGACACUAUUAAGCUAACAAUAUUUCACAUUUUGGGAGUUCCAGAAGAAGUGUUGGGAUAAGGACCAGAAAAUCUAUUUAAGAAGAUAAUACCUGAAAACUGCCAAAGUUUGGGAGAGAAAGAGACUAACAGAUAAAGGAAGCUCACAAAUCCCUAAAUAGAUUCAACCCUAAAAGGGCCUCUCUGAGGCACAUUUUCAUCAAACUGUCAAAAAUCAAAGAGAGAAUUUAAAAAACAAGAGAGAAGCAUGAAGUCACAUAUAAGGGAAUCAACAGCAGAUUAACAGAUUUUUCAGCAGAAACCUUCUAGGCCAGGAAAGAAUUGAAUGCCAUAUUAAAAGUGCUGCAAGGUGGGGAAAAGCUCACAAAAUUGCUAGCCACAAAUACUAUACCCAGCAAAGCUAUCCUUCAGAAAUGAAGCAGAAUGAGGGAAGAAAUUUUGCCUCCCUCAGACAAGCAAAAACUGAGGGAAUUCAUUACUACUAAAUCAGCCCCACAAGAAAUGCUUAAGGGAGUACUACAUCUGGAAGUAGGAGGAUGAUAUCUACCAUCAUGAAACUACAAAAGCAUAAAACACUAGUAGAGCAGAUACACAAAUGAGAAAGGAAAAGGAAUAAAAGAUUAUCACUACAGAAAACCAAAAAAUUGCAAAGAAAAACAAUGAGAGGAAACAAAAGUAUACAAAUCAGUCAGAAAACAAUAAAAUGACAGGAGUAAGUCCUCACCUAUUGAUAACAAUCUUGAAUGUAGGUAAUUUAAAUUUCCCAAAUGAAAGAUAGAUACUGGCUAAAUGAAUUAAAAAAAUAAAACCCAAUUACAUGCUGCCUAUAAGAAACUGACUUCACCUGUAAAGACACCCAUAGACUGUAAGGGAAUGGAUAGAAAAAGAUAUUCCACACAAACAGACACCAAAAGCAUGCAGGAGUAGACAGACAAAAAAUACUGAGUCAAAAAAAAAAAAAAAAAAAAAAAGAAAAAGAAAAAAGAGACAAAGGAGGUCAUUAUAUAAUUAUAAAUGGAUCAAUUCAGCAAGAAGAUAUAACAAUUAUAUAUGCAACCAACAACACUGGAGUACCCAGGUAUAUUAAACAAAUAUUAUUAGUGCUAAAGAGAUAGACCCCAAUACAAUAAUAGUUAGGGAUGGCAACAUUUCAUACUCAGCAUUGGACAAUUCAUUUGGAUGGAAAAAUAUCAACAAGGAAAUAUUAGAUUUGAACUGCUGCUUCGUUAGCACACAGCACAUUCUCCAGGAUAUACCAUAUGUUAGGACACAAAACGGGUCUCAAUAAAUUUUUAAAAGUCAAAAUCUUAUCAAGUAUCUUCUCAGACCACAAUGGAAUAAAACUGGAAAUCAAUAACAAGAGGAACUUCUGAAAUUGAACAGAUACACGGAAAUCAAACUACAUGUUCCUGAAUGACCACUGUGUCUAUGAAGAAAUUGAUUUUAAAAAUUUAAAAAUUCUUUGAAACAAAUGAAAAUAGAAACACAGCAUACAAAAAUGUAUAGGGUACAACAAAAGAAGUGCUAUGAGGGACAUUUAUUUCAAUAAACACCCACAUCAAUAAGGUAGAAAGUUUUUAAACAAAUAACCUAAUAAACGCAUCUCAAGGAACUAGAAAAGCAAGAACAAAUCAAACCUAAAAUUAGAAGGAAAUAAAUAGUAAAGAUCAGAGCAGAUCUAAAUGAAAUAGAGAUAAAAGGUAAAAAAGACAAAAGAUCAAUGAAAUGAGGCCUCCCCCCCACCCCCCGAGACACGGUCUCACUCUGUCACCCAGGCUAGAGCGCAGUGGUGUGAUCUUGGCUCACUGUAACCUCUGCUUCCUGGGCUCAAGCAAUCCUCCUGCCUCAGCUUCUGAGUAGAUGUGCAGCACCACACCUCGCUAAUUUUUUUUUUUUUUUUUGGUAGAGAUGGGGGUUUGCCAUGUUGCUCAGGCUGGUCUCAAACUCCUGGACUCAAGCGAUCGGCCUGCCUUGGCCUUCCAAAGUACUGGGUUUACAGGUGUGAGCCAACAAACCCAGCCAAAAAACUGAUUUUUUGAAAAGAGAAAAUCAAUAAACCAUUAGCUAGACUAACCAAGAAGACCCAAUAAAUAAAAUCAGAAAUGAAAAAGGAGACUUACAAUGGACACCACAGAAAUACAAAAGAUUAUUAGAGACCAUUAUGAACAACUAUAUGUCAACAAUUAGAAAACCUAGAGGAAAGAGAUAAAUUCCUGGACAUAUAUAACCUCCCAAGAUUGAACCAGGAAGAAAAAAAAUCUGAACAGAGCAAUAACAAGGAAUGAGAUUGUAUCAGUAAUAAAGUCUCCCAGUAAAGAAAACCUCAGGAUUGCACGGGUUUUCUACUGAAUUCUACCAAACCUUUAAAGAACUAACAUGAAUUCUUCUCAGACAAUUCCAAAAGACUGAAGAGAAAGGAAUUCUCCCUAACUCAUUCUGUGAGGCAAGCAGUAUCUUGAUACCAAAACCAGAUAAGGACACAAUAACAGCAAAAAAGAAAACUACAGGCCAAUCUCCCUGAUGAACAUAGAUGCAGAAUCCUCAGAAACAAAACACACACACAGACACACAAACUAGCAAUCUGAAUCCAAUCGCACAUCAAAAAGAUAAUACACCAUAAUCAAGUGGGAUUUAUCCCAGGGAUUCAAGGAUGGUUCAACAUAUACAAAUCAAUAAAUGUGAUACAUCACAUUAACAGAAGGAAGGACAAAAAAAUACAUGAUCAUCUCAAUAGAUGCAGAAAAAGCAUCUGAUAAAAUUCAAAAUCUCUUCAUGAUAAAAAAAAAAGCUCAUCACAUAAUGUCUAGAAGGAACAUAACUCAAUGAAGGUCAUAUAUGACAAACCCACAGCCACCUGGGGAAAAGCUAAACACCUUCUCUCUUAGAACUAGAACAAGACAAGGAUGCCCACUUUCACUAUUCUUAUUCAGCAGAGUAAGAAAAGUCCUCACCAGAACAAUUAGGCAAGUAAAAGAAAAAGGGUAUCCAAAUUGGAAAAGAGAAUGUCAUAUUGUCCUUUGCAGAUGGCAUAAUCUUAUACAUAGAAAAACCUAAAGAUUCCACCAAAAUCUUUUAGAACUGGUAAAGGAAUUCAAUAAAGUUGCAGGAUAAAAAAAUCAACAAACAAAAAUUAGUAGGUGUGGACAUGAUGGCUCAUGCUUGUAAUUUCAGCACUUUGAAAGGAUGAGGCGGGUGGAUUGCUUGAGCCCAGGAGUUUGAGACUGUCCUGGGCAACAUGGCAAAACCUCAUCAGUACAAAAAUGAGCUGGGCGUGGUGGCCUGCACCUGAAGUUCAGCUACUCAGGAGGCUGAGAUGGGAGGAUCACUUGAACCUCGGAGGUGAAGGUUGCAGUGAGCAGAAAUUGCACCAUUGCACCCCAGCCUGGGCAACAGAGUGAGACCCUGUCUGCACUCCCCUGCCUCCCCCAAAAAAUCAGUAGCAUUUCUGUGAAACAGCAAAUUAGCCAAAAGAGAAAUGAAGAAAGCAAUCCCAUUUGCAAUAGCUACAAAAAAAAGCAAAGCUUAACCAAGGAGGUGAAAGAUUUCCACAAUGAAAACUAUAAAAUACUGAUAACAGUAAUUGAAGAGGCUACAAAAUUUUUUGAGACAUCCCAUGCUCAUGGAUUGAAAGAAAAAUGUUAAAAUGAUCAUAUUUACCUAUAGCAAUAUACAGAUGCUAUGAAAUCCCUAUCCAGAUAUCAGCAGGGGCUUCAAGAUGGCUGACUAGAGGCAUCUGGCACUCACCUCCUCCACAAAAUAUAGCAAGUAGGUAACCACAGUUUAUAUAGAUCGCCUCUGAGAGAAUGCUGGAAUUCAACUGAGAAGUAAUAAGAAAAACCCAAUGCAAGGGAUAAGAGGGGAGUCAGGCAGUCUGCUUCUAUGGGACUGGCUGGGAUCAUGAAGAGACUCCUCGAUGUGCAGAAAGGUAAGUAAGUGAGCCCCUAGUGGUCCACAUUCCCACAGCAGACUCCUGAAAUCCUAGUCAGAGAACCCCCUGACCCAUAGAUGCCUUGAGACUAACAAGAGGCUACCUACAGACUGUGAAAUGGCAAUGAACAGCUCCCAGAGAGGGAGAUCACCCUGAAUCCUCAGGCAAUUCACACAUCCCCUGAAUCCUCAGGCAACUUCAGGAAAGUCCCAUUUUGAUAGCCCAACCCCCACCAGACUGCAUCUGCUGUGGGCCCCACAUCCCUCUAUCUCAUCCCUGGAGCCCCAUGGACAUCCCUUACACAAAGCUGGUUGCCACUCCUGACUGCUCCCUCCAGGCCAAAGCAUGAGCCAUUGGCAAUACUCUGCUACCUCCGAAGCAAGGCUGCCAUGAGGAAAGGUGACCCUGCCCAUAGUCACCACCUGGGGCCGAAGCAUGCAUUGCCCAACUGCCUGUUUAUAGCUGCUGCCACUGAAAGCAAUCCCACUCAACUUCCCCAGGAGUAGGGCUGCAAUAGAGUUGCUGCUGCCCCAACAUGAGCAUUCAGCAGGGUAUACAGGGAUCUUCCUGUGCCUGCCUACCACAGUCAGUACAUUCUUGCAUUACUGGAGGGCCUCAGGACAGGCCCACCUGGCCUGGUCCCACCCUCUUUUCUCCCAGUGCCAGCGCAUACCAUCUCUGGGCCUAGGGAUCACCCUGCCCUAUCCAGUAUUGUUGGCACCUGAGCACUCCUGGGGGCUUGAGGACUGCCCUACCCAACUGACCAUUACCACCACAACUGGCAUUCACUUGAAUUUGCCACCUGUGGGCCUUGGGACAAGCUCAUCCAGCUUAUCCCAGCCAUCCCAAUACCAGCAUGGACACCUUGGGAGGCAGAAGAUUGUUCUGCCACUGCUACUGCCAUUGCCCAAGCCAUAUCUGCUGCUCAGAGCUCAAGGACCUACCCACCCUGUGGCCCAGCUCUGUCAUCAUUGGCACCUGAGCAAGUUGCCUGGAGGCCCAAAAUUGGUUUCCCUGGACUUGCUAACACUGGUACCAGCAUACACUACCAUUGGGCCCAAGGAUAAGCAUUCGGGGCCAGCCACUGCUGCCACUGGGGCCUGAGGACUGGCCCAGCUGGUGUCCCUAUCCCCAGCCAGACUUUACCACAGCCUCCACCAACAACUGCAUCCUAAACUACAGAGGAACUCCCAGACACUACUGGUGCUGUUUACAGCUGAAAAAAAUUCCAUGGAGAUCACACUACUGCAGGCACCCAGAAUCAAAACCAAAGUGCCCUGCCCAAAGAACACCAUAGAUAUAUCUUCAGGAACAAGACUCUCUUAGGAAAGACAGAUCAAAAAAUUGGAAGAAACUACUGUUACACCAGAUGUGCAGAUACCAGUGUAAGCACACAAGAAACAUGAAAAGGCAAAACAUGACAACUCCUAAGGAAUGCAAUAAUUCUCCAACAGAUUCCAGUGAAAAAGAAAUUGAUGAAACCUUGAAAAAUUCAAUAUAAUAUUAAAGAAGAUCUGAUAGACUAUACAAAGAAAUCAGAAAAAACAAUUCGGGGUAUGAAUGAGAAAUUUGCCCAAGAGAUAGAUAUAAAAAGAACCAAACAGAUAUUCUGGAAUUGAAUAAUAGAUUGAAUGAAAUAAAAAACAUAUUUGAAAGCUUCAAUAACAGACCACAACAAGCAGAAGAAAGAAUUUCACACCUUGAAGAUAAGUCUUUUGAAAUGACUCAGACAAAAAUAUAGAAAAAAUAGAAAAGAAUGAACAAAGGCUAUGUGACUAUAGGAUGCCAUAAGGUGACACCUUCAGUGUCCCAGAAGGUGAAGAGCAAACCAAAAGAUUAUAAAACCUAUUUAAUGAAAUAAUACCUGAACACUUCCCAAUCUCCCAAGAGAUUUAGAUCCAAAUAUAGGAAUCUCAGAACCCUAAAUAGAUACAAUUCAGAAAGGUCUUUUCCACAGCACAUUAUAGCAAAUUGCCCAUCCCAAGACAAAGAGAGAAUCAUAAAACCAGCGAUAAAAGAGGUUGUAGACACUUACAAGGGAACAACCUGCAGACUAACAGAUUUUUCAGCAGAAACUUUACAGGCCAGGAGGAUGGGAUUAUAUACGCAGAGUGCUGAAAGAAAAAACAAAACCAAAAACCUGCCAGCCAGGAAUACUGUACUUAGCAAAGUUAUAUUCGUCAGAAAUGAAGGAGAAAUAAAGUAUUUCCCUUAAAAGUAAAAGCUCAGGGAAUUAAUUGCCACUACACUGGCACUACAAAAAAUGCUUAAGGGAGUCUUACAGGAAGAAGUGAAAGGACAACUUCAUGAAAGCACACAAAAUAAUCAGAAAUCAAUUAAUGACAGGAAUAAGCCCUCACAUAUCAACAAUAACCUUGCAUAUAAAUAGAUUAAACUUUCUACUUAAAAGACAGACUGGCUGAAUGGACUUAAAAACAUGACCCAUCUAAAUGCUAUCUACAAGAAACGCAUCUCACCUGUAAAGACACAUAGUUGAAAGAAAGGAAUGGGAAAAGAUAUUACAUGCAAAAGGAAACAAAAACCAAACAGGAGUAGCUAUACUUUCAUCAGAUAAAACAAAGGUUAAGCUAAAAACACUAAAAAGAGACGAAGUCAUUAUAUAGUGACAGAGGGAUCAAUUGACCAAGAGGAUAUAACAAUUCUAAACAUAUAUGCACCCAACACCAAAGCACCCAGAUAUAUAAGGCAAACAUCAAAUCUGAAGGGAAAGGUAGACUUCAACACAAUAAUCUUGGGAACUUCAAUUCUCCAUUUCCAGUAUUAGACAGAUCAUCUAGACAAAAAAUUAACAAAGAAACAUUGGAUUUAAACUGCACUUUAUACCAAAUGGACCUAACAGACAUUUACAGACCAGUUCAUAAAACAGCUGCAGAAUAUACACUCUUCUCAUCAGUACAUGGAACACUCUCCAGGAUACAUUAUAUGUUAGGACACUAAGUAUGAUUUUAAAUAUAUAUAUAUUUUAAAUUGGAUUCAUAUCACAUAUCUUCUCAGACCACAAUAGCAUAAAACUAUAAAUAAAUAAGAGGAGCAUUCAAAACUGUAUAAAUAAAUGGAAAUUAACAUGUUCCUGAAUGACCAAUGGGUCAAAGAAGAAAUUAAGGCAGAAAUAAAAAAUUUACUGAAACAAGUGAAAAUAGAAGCACAACAUUCUGAAACUUAAGGGAUACUGCAAAAGCAAUGCUAAGAGGAAAGUUUAUUGUAAUAAAUGCCUCCAUUAAAAAAGGUAGAAAAGAUCUUAAAUAAUCUAAUGAUACACCUGAAGGAACCAGAAAAGCAAGAACAAACCAUACUAAACAUAAAAUUAGUAGAAGGAAAGAAAUAACGAAGAUCAGAGCAGAACUAAACAAGAAACUAAAUAAAUAUAAAGGAUCAAUGAAAUGCAAAAUCGGUUUUUGAAAAGAAACAAAAUAACCAGUGGCUAAACUAUCCAAGAAGAAAAGAGAGAAGACCUACAUGAAUAAAAUCAAAAAUGAAAAAGGGGAUAUUACAACUCAUACCAUGAAAUACAAAAAUCAAAACUCUUCAGUCUGAUCAAUAAAUUGAUUACAGUUACAGGAUUUAAAAAUCAGGCUUAUUUCUAUAUACCAAUAAAGAACCAGCUGAGAAAGAAAUCAAGAAGGCAUUAUCUUUUACAACCACUACAAAAAAUCUAGGAAUGAGUUUAACCAAAGAGGUGAGAAACCUCUAACAAGGAAAACUACAAAAGUCUGAUGAAAGAAAUUGAAAAGAACACACAAAAAACAUCCCAUUCUCAUGGAUUGGGAGAAUUAACAAAAUUAAAAUGACCAUACUACCCAAAGCAAUCUACAGAUUCAAUGCAGUCUCUCUCAAAAUACCAAUGCCAUUUUUCAUGGAAAUAGAAAAAAUCCUAAAAUUCAGAUGGAACCAAAAAAGAGCUGGAAUAGCCACAGCAAUUCUGAGCAAAAAUAACAAAGUUGGAUGCAUCACACUGCCUGAUUUAAAAAUAUAAGGCUAUAGCAUUAAAAGCAGCAUGGUAUUGGAAUAAAAACUGAUAGACCAAUGGAACAGAGUAGAACCUGGAAGUAAAUCCAUGUAUUUACAGCCAACUGAUUUUUGACAAAGAUGCCAAGAACAUACACUGGGAAAAGAGCACCCUCUUCACUUAAUGGAGCUGGGAAAAUAAGAUAUCCAUGUGAAAAAUGAAACCGUUUCUAUCUCUUGCUAUACUAAAAUCAACUCAAGAUGGGUUAAAGACUUAAACAUGAGGCAUGAAACUAUAACAUCACUAUUAAUGAAGGAGACAUUGGGGAAACACUUUAGGACAUUGGUCUAGGGAAAGAUUUUAUGGAUAAGACCUCAAAAACACAGACAAAAACAAAAAUAGACAAAUGGGACUAUAUUAAAUGAUAAAGCUUGUACACAACAAGGGAAACAAUCACCAGAGUGAAGAGACAGCCUGUUGAAUGGGAGAAAAUAUUUGCAAACUACUCAUCUGACAAGGUACUAAUACCAGAAUAUACUAGGAACUCCAAUAACUCAAUAGUAAACAACAAAUUAAUUCCAAUAAAAAGUGAGCAAAAGACAUGGAUAGAUAUUUCUCAAAAGAAAACAUACAAGUAGCCAACAGGUAUAUUUAAAAAAAAAAGCCCAACAUCAGUAAUUAUAAGGGAAAUGCAAGCCAAAACCAUAGUGAGAAUGGCUAUUUUAAAAAGACAAAAAUUAACCAAUGCUGGAGAGGAUGUGGAGGGAACUCUUAUACACUGUUGGUGGGAAUGUAAAUUAAUACUAUAGAAAACAGUUUGAUUUCUGAAAAACCUAAAAAGAGAAAUAUGACAUAAUCCAGCAAUCUCACUACUGGAUAUUUAUCUAAAGGAAAAGAUAUCAGUAUACUAAAAAUGUACCUGCAUCCCCGUGUUUAUUGCAGCACUAUUCACAACAGCAAAGAUAUGGACUCAGGAACCUAAGUGUACAUCAGUGGAUAAAUGGAAAAAGAAAAUGAGGUAAAUAUAUACAAUGGAAUACUAAUUGACCAAAGAAGAAUGAAAUCAUGUCCUUUGCAGCAACAUGAAUGGAGCUGGAGGUCAUUAUUUUAAGCCAGGCACAGAAAGAUAAUUAUCUUAUGUUAUUAUCAUAUGUGGGAGCUAUAAAAGUUGAUCUCAUGGAGGUAGAGAGUAGAAGGAUAGAUACCAAAGGCUGUGAAAGGUAUGUCUGGAGGGUGAAGAGAGGUUGGUUAGUGGGUAAAAAUACACAGCUAGUUAGAAUAAAUAAUUUAUAAUGUUUGAUAAGAGUUGGUUGACUAUAUUUAACAAUAUAAUGUAUAUUUCAAAAUAAAAAAGAGGACUUGAAAUGUUCCUAACUAUAGAGAUGAUAAAUUGAGGGUGAUGGAUACCCUGACUUGAUCAUUACACAUUCGAUGCAUGUAACAAUAGCACAUGUACCCCAUAAGUAUUAUGUAUCGGUCAAAAAAAAAAAAAAAAGGAAAUCCCAGUGCUUUGGGGGGCCAAGGCAGAAGGAUCGCUUGAGCCCAGGAAUUCAAGACCAGCCUGGGCAACAAUGCACGACCCUGUCUCUACAAAAAAUUAAGAAGUUAUCCAGGCAUGGUGGUGCAUGCCUGUAGUCCCAGCUACUUGAGGGGUCAAGGAUGGAGAAUGACUUGAGCCUGGGAGUUAAAGAUUGCAGUAAGUGGGGUGGUUCCAAGAUGGCCGAAUAGGAGGAGCUCCAGUCUAUAGCUCCCAGCGUGAGUGACGCAGAAGAUGGGUGAUUUCUGCAUUUCCAACUGAGGUAGUGGGUUCAUCUCACUGGGGCUCGUCAAGACAGUGGGUACAGGACAGUGGGUGCAGCCCACUGAGUGUGAGACGAAGUAGGGCGAGGCAUCGCCUCACCUGGGAAGCACAAGGGGUCAGGGAAUUCCCUUUCCUAGCCAACGGAAGGGGUGACAGACGGCACCUGGAAAACUGGAUCACUCCCACCCUAAUACUGUGCUUUUCCAAUGGUCUUAGCAAACGGCACACCAGGAGAUUAUAUCCCGCGCCUGGCUCGGAGGGUCCCACGCCCAUGGAGCCUCGCUCAUUGCUAGCACAGCAGUCUGAGAUCGAACUGCAAGGCGGCAGCGAGGCUGGGGGAGCCUGCCAUUGCUGAGGCUUGAGUAGGUAAACAAAGUGGCCAGGAAGCUCGAACUGGGUGGAGUCCACCACAGCUCAAGGAGGCCUGCCUGCCUCUGUAGACUCCACCUCUGGGGACAGAGCAUAGCCGAACAAAAGGCAGCAGAAACCUCUGCAGACUUAAAUGUCCCUGUCUCACAGCUUUGAAAAGAGUAGUGGUUCUCCCAGCACGGAGUUUGAGAUCUAAGAAUGGAUAGACUGCCUCCUCAAGUGGGUCCCUGACCCCCGAGUAGCCUAACUGGGAGGCACUCCCCAGUAGGGGCAGACUGACACCUCACACGGCUGGGUACUCCUCUGAGACGAAGCUUCCAGAGGAACAAUCAGGCAGCAACAUUUGGUGUUCAGCAGUAUUCGCUGUUCUGCAGCCUCUGCUGCUGAUACCCAGGCAAACAGGGUCUGGAGUGGACCUCCAGCAAACUCCAACAGACCUGCAGCUGAGGGUCCUGACUGUUAGAAGGAAAACUAACAAACAGAAAGGACAUCCACACCAAAACUCCAUCUAUACGUCACCAUCAUCAAAGACCAAAGGUAGAUAAAACCACAAAGAUGGGGAAAAAACAGCAGAAAAGCAGAAAAUUCUAAAACUCAGAGCACCUCUCCCCAUCCAAAGGAACGCAGCCACUCGCCAGCAAUGGAACAAAGCUGGACGGAGAAUGACUUUGACAAGUUGAGAGAGGAAGGCUUCAGACAAUCAAACUUCUCCGAGCUAAAGGAGGAAGUUCGAACCCAAAGCAAAGAAGCUAAAAACCUUGAAAAAAGAUUAGACGAAUGGCUAACUAGAAUAACCAGUGUAGAGAAGUCCUUAAAUGACAUGAUGGAGCAGAAAACCAUGGCACAAGAACUACGUGACAAAUGCACAAGCUUCAGUAGCCGAUUUGAUCAACUGGAAGAAAGGAUAUCGGUGAUUGAAGAUCAAAUGAAUGAAAUGAAGUGAGAAGAGAAGUUCAGAGAAAAAAGAGUAAAAACAAACGAACAAAGCCUCCAAGAAAUAUGGGACUAUGUGAAAAGACCAAAUCUACAUCUGACUGGUGUACAUGAAAAUGACAGGGAGAAUGGAACCAAGUUGGAAAACACUCUUCAGGAUAUUAUCCAGGAGAACUUCCCCAACCUAGCAAGGCAGGAUAUUAUCCAGGAGAACUUCCCCAACCUAGCAAGGCAGGCCAACAUUCAAAUUCAGGAAAUACAGAGAAUGCCACAAAGAUACUCCUCAAGAAGAGCAACUCCAAGACACAUAAUUGUCAGAUUCACCAAAGUUGAAAUGAAGGAAAAAAUGUUAAGGGCAGCCAGAGAGAAAGGUUGGGUUACCCACAAAGGGAAACCCAUCAGACUAACGGCGGAUCUCUCAGCAGAAACUCUACAAGCCAGAAGAGAGUGGGGGCCAAUAUUCAACAUUCUUAAAGAAAAGAAUUUUCAACCCAGAAUUUCAUAUCCAGCCAAACUAAGCUUCAUAAGUGAAGGAGAAAUAAAAUCCUUUAUAGACAAGCAAAUGCUGAGAGAUGUUAUAACCACCAGGCCUGCCCUACAAGAGCUCCUGAAGGAAGCACUAAACAUGGAAAGGAACAAUUGGUACCAGCCACUGCAAAAACAUGACAAAUUGUAAAGACCAUAGAUGCUAGGAAGAAACUGCAUCAACUAACGAGCAAAAUAACCAGCUAACAUCAUAAUGGAUCAAAUUCACACAUAACAAUAUUAACCUUAAAUGUAAAUAGGCUAAAGGCUCCAAUUAAAAGACACAGACUGGCAAAUUGGAUAAAGAGUCAAGACCCAUCAGUGUGCUGUAUUCAGGAGACCCAUCUCACGUGCAGAGACACACAUAGGCUCAAAAUAAAGGGAUGGAGGAAGAUCUACCAAGCAAAUGGAAAAUAAAAAAAGGCAGGGGUUGCAAUCCUAGUCUCUGAUAAAACAGACUUUAAACCAAUAAAGAUCAAAAGAGACAAGGUCAUUACAUAAUGGUAAAGGGAUCAAUUCAACAAGAAGAGCUAACUAUCUUAAAUAUAUAUGCACCCAAUACAGGAGCACCCAGAUUCAUAAAGCAAGUCCUUAGAGAUCUACAAAGAGACAGACUCCCACACAAUAAUAAUGGGAGACUUUAACACCCCACUGUUAACAUUAGACAAAUCAACAAGACCGGAAGUUAACAAGGAUAUCCAGGAAUUGAACUCAGCUCUGCACCAAGUGGACCUAAUAGACAUCUACAGAACAUUCCAACCCAAAUCAACAGAAUAUACAUUCUUCUCAGCAUCACAUCGCACUUAUUCCAAAAUUGACCACAUAAUUGGAAGUAAAGCACUCCUCAGCAAAUGUAAAAGAACAGAAACUAUAACAAACUGUCUCUCAGACCACAGUGCAAUCAAACUAGAACUCAGGAUUAAGAAACUCACUCAAAACCGCUCAACGACAUGGAAACUGAACCACCUGCUCCUGAAUGACUACUGGGUACAUAACGAAAUGAAGGCAGAGAAAUAAAGAUGUUCUUUGAAACCAAUGAGAACAAAGACACAACAUACCAGAAUCUCUGGGACACAUUUAAAGCAGUGUGUAGAGGGAAAUUUAUAGCACUAAAUGCCCACAAGAGAAAGCAGGAAAAAUCUAAAAUUGAUGCCCUAACAUCACAAUUAAAAGAACUAGAGAAGCAAGAGCAAACACAUUCAAAAGCUAGCAGAAGGCAAGAAAUAACUAAGAUCAGAGAAGAAUUGAAGGAGAUAGAGACACAAAAAACCCUUCAAAAAAUCAAUGAAUCCAGGAGGUGGUUUUUUUGAAAAGAUCAACAAAAUUGAUAGGCCUCUAGCAAGACUAAUAAAGAAGAGAGAAGAAUCAAAUAGAUGCAAUAAAAAAUGAUAAAGGGGAUAUCACCACCGAUCCCACAGAAAUACAAACUACCAUCAGAGAAUACUAUAAACACCUCUAUGCAAAUAAACUAGAAAAUCUAGAAGAAAUGGAUAAAUUCCUGGAGACAUACACCCUUCCAAGACUAAACCAGGAAGAAGUUGAAUCCCUGAAAAGACCAAUAACAGGCUCUGAAAUUUAGGCAAUAAUUAAUAGUCUACCAACCAAAAAAAGUCCAGGACCAGACGGAUUCACAGCCGAAUUCUACCAGAGGUACAAGGAGGAGCUGGUACUAUGCCUUCUGAAACUAUUCCAAACAAUAGAAAAAGAGGGAAUCCUCCCUAACUCAUUUUAUGAGGCCAGCAUCAUCCUGAUACCAAAGCCUGGCAGAGACACAACAAAAAAAGAGAAUUUUAGACCAAUAUCCCUGAUGAACAUUGAUGCAAAAAUCCUCAAUAAAAUACUGGCAAACCGAAUCCAGCAGCACAUCAAAAAGCUUAUCCACCAUGAUCAAGUGGGCUUCAUCCCUGGGAUGCAAGGCUGGUUCAACAUAUGCAAAUCAAUAAACAUUAUCCAGCAUAUAAACAGAACCAAAGACAAAAACCACAUGAUUAUCUCAAUAGAUGCAGAAAAGGCCUUUGACAAAAUUCAACAGCCCUUCAUGCUAAAAACUCUCAAUAAAUUAGGUAUUGAUGGGAUGUAUCUCAAAAUAAUAAGAGCUAUUUAUGACAAACCCACAGCCAAUAUCAUACUGAAUGAGCAAAAACUGGAAGCAUUCCCUUUGAAAACUGGCACAAGACAGGGAUGCCCUCUCUCACCACUCCUAUUCAACAUAGUGUUGGAAGUUCUGGCCAAGGCAAUCAGGCGGGAGAAAGAAAGAAAGGAUAUUCAAUUAGGAAAAGAGGAAGUCAAAUUGUCCCUGUUUGCAGAUGACAUGAUUGUAUAUUUAGAAAACCCCAUCAUCUCAGCCCAAAAUCUCCUUAAGCUGAUAAGCAACUUCAACAAAGUCUCAGGAUACAAAAUCAAUGUGCAAAACAUCACAAGCAUUCUUAUACACCAAUAACAGACAAACAGAGAGCCAAAUCAUGAGUGAACUCCCAUUCACAAUUGCUUCAAAGAGAAUAAAAUACCUAGGAAUCCAACUUACAAGGGAUGUGAAGGACCUCUUCAAGGAGAAGUACAAACCACUGCUGAACAAAAUAAAAGAGGAUACAAACAAAUGGAAGAACAUUCCAUGCUCAUGGAUAGGGAGAAUCAGUAUCAUGAAAAUGGCCAUACUGCCCAAGGUAAUUUAUAAAUUCAAUGCCAUCCCCAUCAAGCUACCAAUGACUUUCUUCACAGAAUUGGAAAAAAACUACUUUAAAGUUCAUAUGGAACCAAAAAAGAGCCCGCAUUGCCAAGACAAUCCUAAGCCAAAAGAACAAAGCUGGAGGCAUCACGCUACCUGACUUCAAACUAUACUACAAGGCUACAGUCACCAAAACAGCAUGGUACUGGUACCAAAACAGAGAUAUAGACCAAUGGAACAGAACAGAGCCCUCAGAAAUAAUACCACACAUCUACAAUCAUCUGAUCUUUGACAAAGCUGACAGAAACAAGAAAUGGGGAAAGGAUUCCCUAUUUAAUAAAUGGUGCUGGGAAAACUGGCUAGCCAUAUGUAGAAAGCUGAAACUGGAUCCCUUCCUUACACCUUAUACAAAAAUUAAUUCAAGAUGGAUUAAAGACUUACAUGUUAGACCUAAAACCGUAAAAACCCUAGAAGAAAACCUAGGCAAUACCAUUCAGGACAUAGGCAUGGGCAAGGACUUCAUGUCUAAAACACCAAAAGCAAUGGCAACAAAAGCCAAAAUUGACAAAUGGGAUCUAAUUAAACUAAAGAGCUUCUGCACAGCAAAAGAAACUACCGUCAGAGUGAAUAGGCAACCUACAGAAUGGGAGAAAUUUUUUGCAAUCUACUCAUCUGAUAAAAGGCUAAUAUCCAGAAUCUACAAAGAACUCAAACAAAUUUACAAGAAAAAACAAACAACCCUAUCAAAAAGUGGGCAAAGGUUAUGAACAGACACUUCUCAAAAGAAGACAUUUAUGCAGCCAAAAGACACAUGAAAAAAUGCUCAUCAUCACUGGCCAUCAGAGAAAGGCAAAUCAAAAAACCACAAUGAGAUACCAUCUCACACCAGUUAGAAUGGCAAUCAUUAAAAAUUCAGGAAACAACAGGUGCUGGAGAAGAUGUGGAGAAAUAGGAACGCUUUUACACUGUUGGUGGGACUGUAAACUAGUUCAACCAUUGUAGAAGACAGUGUGGUGAUUCCUCAAGGAUCUAGAACUAGAAAUACCAUUUGAUCCAGCCAUCCCCUUACUGGGUAUAUACCCAAAGGACUAUAAGUCAUGCUGCUAUAAAGACACAUGCACACGUAUGUUUAUUGCAGCACUAUUCACGAUAGCAAAGACUUGGAACCAACCCAAAUGUCCAUCAAUGAUAGACUGGAUUAAGAAAAUGUGGCACAUACACACCAUGGAAUACUAUGCAGCCAUAAAAAAAGGAUGAGUUCACGUCCUUUGUAGGGACAUGGAUGAAGCUGGAAACCAUCAUUCUCAGCAAACUAUAGCAAGAAUGAAAAACCAAACACCGCAUGUUCUCACUCGUAGGUGGGAACUGAACAAUGAGAACACUUGGACGUAGGAAGGGGAACAUCACCCACCAGGGCCUGUUGUGGGGUGGGGGGGGAGGGGGGAGGGGGGAGGGAAAGCAUUAGGAGAUAUACCUAAGGUAAAUGACAAGGUAAUCAGUGCAGCACACCAACAUGGCACAUGUAUACAUAUGUAACAAACCUGCACGUUGUGCACAUGUACCCUAGAACUUAAAGUAUAAUAAAAAAAAGGGAGAGAGAGAGAAAAGAGAAAUCUAAAAAAAAAAAAAUACCAAAGACAAUCUUCACCGAAAUAGCAAAAACACAAUCCUUAAACUUGCAUGGAACCACAAAAGACCACAAAUAGGACAAACAAUACUGAGCAGGCAGAAUGAAGCUGGAGGCACUACACUGCCUGACAUCAAAAUACAGUCGACUCUUCAACAACAUAGAUUUGAACUGUAUAGGUUCAUUUAUACGUGGAUUUUCCCCAUAAUCUAACAAGGAUAGAAUGCAAUAUUCACAAAAGUGAAAACUAUGUAUACAGAUGACUGACAUUUUGUAUAUGCGCAUUACACAGGGCUGACUCUGGGACUUGAAUAUACAUGGCUUUUGGUAUAUACAGGGGGUCUCGGAAGCAAUCCCCCUUGUAUACAAAACAAUGGUAACCAAAUUAGCAUGCAAUGGGCAUAAAACAGACAUAUAGACCAAUGGAACAGAAUAGAGAACCCAGAAGUAAAUAAAUUUAUUUACAGACAACUGGUUUUUGACAAAGGUGCCAAGAACACACUCUGGGGAAAGGACACCAUGUUGAACACAUCAUGUUGGGAAAACAGGAUAUCAUAUGCAGAAGAAUGAAACUAUACUAUCUCUCAGCAUAUAAAAAAAUCAACUCAAAAUUGAUUAGAGACUUAAACAUGAGACCUGAAGCAAACAGUACUAGAAGAAAACAGAAGGGAAACCCUUCAGGAUAUGGGUCUAGCGAAGAUUUUAUGGGUAAGACUUUAUAAGCACAGGCAACAAAAACAAAAAUAGACAAAUGGGACUGUAUCAAACUAAAAACCUACACAUAAAAGGAAAUAAUAAACUAUUAAGAGAUAUCCUGUAGAAUGGGAGAAAAUAUUCAUCUGACAAGGGAUUAAUAUCCGGAAUAUACAAGGAAUUCAAACAAUUCAACAGCAAAAAACACCAGAUUAUCUGAUUUAGAAAUGUGCAAAAUAGAACAACUGGCCAACAGGUAUGUGAAAAAAUGCUCAACAUCUCUCAUCACAGAAAUGCAAGUCAAAGCCACAGUGAGACAUUAUUUCACCUCAGUUAGAAUGGCUGUUUUCAAAAAGACAAAACAUAACAAAUGCUGGCAAGGAUGCAGAGAAAAGGGAAAUAAUACACUAUUUGUGGGACUAUAAAUUAGUGAGUCAUUAUGGAAAAUACUGUGGUGUUUUGUCAAAAAAACUAAAAGUAGACUAUCAUACAGUUUGACAAUCCACUACCGGGUAUUGACUCAAAGGAAAGGAAAUCAGUAUAUAAAAAAGAUAUUUGCAUUCUCAUGUUUAUUGCAGUACUGUUCACAACAGUUAAGAUAUGGAAUCAACUUAAAUCUCCAUCAGCAGAUGCAGAGAAAGAAUGUGGUAUGUAUACACAAUGGAAUAUUAUUCAGUCAUAAUAAAGCAUUAAGUCCUGUCAUUCACAGCAACAUGGAUGAACUUGGAUAAUAUGUUAAAUGAAAUUAGGCACAGAAAGAUGGAGGAUUUUGACUGCUCACAAAACAGAGAAAUGAUAUUUGAGUUGAUGAAUAUGCUAAUUACCCUGAUUUGAUUAUGACACAUUAUAUACAUGUAUCACAAUAUCACUGUGUAUAUCCCAUAAAUAUCUACAAUUAUUACAUGUUGACUAAAAAUAAAAGGACAAAGAAAAAGACUCCUAGAAGAAAAACCCACAAGGAGCAUCAUAAUGGUGAAAAGACUAAGAGCUUUUCCUCUAAGAUCAGGAAUAAAGCAAGAUGCGCAUUUUAGCCAUUAUAUUAAACAUAGUAGUGGCUUUCUAGCCAAAGAAUAUGGAAAAGAAAUAAAGGCAUCAUUUAGAAAGGAAGAAUUAAAAUUAUGUUUGUUCAUAGAUAUGAUCAUAUUUGUAGAAAUCCCUGAAAACUCACCACAAAAACUGAAUAAAUUAAUUCAGCAAAGUAGCAGGAUAGUAAGUCAGUACACAAAAUUCAGUUGCAUUUCUUUUUUUUUUUUUUUUUUUUUGAGGCAGAGUCUUGGUCUGUCGCCCAGGCUAGAGUGUAGUGGCGCGAUCUCGGCUCACUGCAAGCUCUGCCUCCCGAGUUCACGCCAUUCUCCUGCUUCAGCCUCCCAAGUAGCUGGGACUACAGGCACACGCUGCUAUGCCUGGCUAAUGUUUUUGUAUUUUUAGUAGAGAUGGGGUUUCACCAUGUUAGCCAGGAUGGUCUCGAUCUCCUGACCUUGUGAUCUGCCCUCCUCAGCCUCCCAAAGUGCUGGGAUUACAGGCGUGAGCCACUGCGCCCAGCUUUCAGUUGCAUUUCUAUACAUUAAUCACAAACAAUCUGAAAGGGAUAUUAUUAACACAACUCUAUUUACACGACAGCAUCAGGACACUCAGCCUUGGCCACCAAGGACCUUUGUAAUGUUUGCCACUGCUGACCUCAGCUGAUGGAGCUGCAAGAAGAGUAUUCCAUUAUAUCCUCAUCUGGGCUACAGCUGCUGCACCCUACCUACUUAACACUCCAUCAAGUGAGCAGAUUUCAAUUCAUUGUAACAAGAAACAGAAAAACCAAGGAAACAUAGCACCCACCUGAGAAAUACAAUAAUUUUCAGGGACUGACUCCCAAGAAAUUGGGAUACAUUAAUUGCCUUACAGAAAAUUAAAAACGACUGAUUUAAGGAAGUUCAGUGUGCUACCAGAGAACAGAGAGACAACCUAAUGAAAUCAUUAAUACACAAAAGGAGACAUUCAAUAAAGAAAUAGAAAUCCUAAAAAAAAAACAAACAUUUUGGAGGUGAAGAAUAUAGUGCAUGAAAUGAAAAGUGAAAUAGAAAGCAUCAGCAGCAGACUUGAUCAAAUAGAAGGAGGAAUUCAUCAACUGGAGGAUAAAUUAUUUGAAAAUAACCAGUAGAGGAGAAAAAUAAAGAAUGAAAAGGUAACAAGGGAAGUUUACAGGAUUUAUGGGACACCAUCAGGAGAGUUAAUGUUCACACAGGAUUUAUAGAAGGAAAGUAGAGAGGUAAAGGGUAGAAAGUUAAUUCAGAGAAAUAAUGGCUGAAAACUUCCCAUAUCUGGGGCUCUUCCCAGAUUGAUGGACAUCUAGGUACAUGAAGCUCAAAGAAUUACAAUUAGUUUCCAUCUAAAAGAGGUUUCACCUAGAUAUAUUGCCAUCAAAAUGUAAAAAAUGGAAGACAAGAUAAUUUUGAAAGCGGCAAGAUAAAUAAAGUUCUUACAUCUGCAGGAACCUCCAUAAGGCUAUCAGUGGAUUUCUGAGCAAAAACUUUCCAGGCCAGGAAACAAUAGGAUUAUAUAUUCAAAGUUCUGAAAGAUAAAAAACUGCCAUCUAAGAAUACUUUACACAGCAAAGCUGUCCUUCAGAUAUGAAACAGAUACAAGACUUCCUCAGGUAAACAAAAGUUGAAGGAGUUUAUCAGCAACUACUCUUGCCUUACAAGAUAUGCCAGAGGGAGUUAUUCAGGCUUAAAUGGAAGGAUGAUAAUUAGUAACAUGAAAACAUAUGAAAGUACAAAAUUCACUGAUAAAUAAAUAUACGGGCAACUUAAGAAUACUCUAAUAGUGUAAUGGUAGUAUAUAAAUCACAUAACUCUAGUAUAAAGGUUAAAAGAAAAAUAAUUAAAAAUUACUAUUGUUUUCAUAAUUUCUCAAUGGAUAUGCAAUAUUAAAAGGUGUACCUUGGGGCAUCAAAAAUAAAAUGUAGCGGGGGAAGUAUAAGAUCAAAAUAUUCCCCCCAAACAAAGAGGGAACAAUCCCAACUUAUUUUACAAGGCUAGCAUUGCCCUCAUACUAAGGCCAGACAAGGACAAUAUAAGAAAAGAAAAUAACUGGCUGAUAUUUUUUUAUGACUAUACAUUUAAAAAUUUUCAACAAAAUAUGAUCAAACUGAAUUUAACAGCACAUUAAAAAAAUCAUAUAUCACAAACAUGGGAUUUAUCCUUAGUACAUAAGGACAGUUAAGUGUACAUAUACAAGAAAUGGGAUACUUUAAUAAAAUCAAAGAUAAAAAUCAUACAAUCAUUUUGAUAAGUGCAAAUAAUGCAGUUCACAUAAUUCAACAUCCUUCCAUGAUAAAAACUAUGAACAAAUUAGGUAUAGAAGGAAUGUACUGCAACACAAUAAAGGCCAUAUAUGAAUAGCCCACAGCUAACAUCAUACUCAAUGCUGAAAAGCUGAAUGCCUCUCCUCUAAGAUGAGGAACAAGAAAAAGAUAUUCUCACCACUUCUAUUCAACACAGUACUGGAAGUCCUAGCCAGAGGAAUUGGGCAAGAAAAAUAAAUAAAUACACUCAAAUCAGAAAGAAGGAAGUAAAAUUGUCUCUGUUUGCAGAUGACAUCAUAUAUGUAGAAAAUGCUACAGACUCCACAAAAAAAACCUGUUAGAAGUAAUAAUCUAACUCAGUAAAGUGGCAGGAUACAAAAUCAGCAUUCAGAAGUCAUUUGCGUAUCUAUACACUAAUAAUAAACAACCUGAAAAACAAAUUAAGAAAACAAUUUCAUUUAAAAUAGCAUCAAAAAGAAUAGAGAGCUCCCAAAUAAAUCCUUUCAUAUAUGAACGCAUGAUUUCUGACAAGCAUGCCAUGUCCAUUCAAUGGCAAAUGGAUUCUCUUUUCAACAAAUGGUGCCAGGAAAACUGGAUAUCCUCACGUGAGAGAAUGAAGUCGAGACCUUUACCUAACUCCAUAUACAAAAAUUAACUCAAAGUGGACCACAGACCUAAAUGUAAGACCUAAAACUAUAAAACUCUUAGAAGAAAACAUGGGGCAAAAACUGCAUGACAUUGGAUUUGGUAUUGACUUCAUUUGGAUAUAAUAUGAAAGGCACAGAUAAAAUAAAAAAUAGAGAAAUUGGACUGCAUAACAUUUAGGCAUACAUUUAACCAAGGAGAUAAAAGACCUAGACACUGAAAACUAUGAAACAUUGAACAAAUUCUAAGAUGAUACAAAUAAAUGGAAAGAUAUCUGGUGUUCAUAGAUCAAUAGAAUAAAUAUUGCCGAAAUAGCUAUACUACUCAAAGUGAUCUACAGAUUCAAGGCAAUGCCUAUCAAAUUUCCAGUGACUUUUUUUCACAGAUAUAGACAAAAAAAAUCCUAAAAUUUGAAAGAAACUACAAAAGACCUUAAAGAUCUAAAGCAUACUUGAGCAAUAAGAACAAAGUGAAAGAUAUUACACAUGCUUAUUUUGAAUUAUAUUUCAAAGUUAUGGUACUGGUAUAGAAAUAAACCAAUGGAACAGAAUAGAAAGCAUAGAAAUAAACCCACACAUUUAUGGUCAACUAAUCUUUGACAAAGACACCAAGAGUACACAAUGGGGAAAGGGUACUCUCUUGAAUAAAUGGCACUGUGAAACCAGGAUAUCCACAUGCAAAAAAAUUAAAUUGGAACCUUACCCUACACUGUAGAGAAAAGUGAAUAAGAUUUAAACAUAUGACCUGAAACCAUAAAACCUAUAAAACAGGGAAAAGCUCCUUGCCAUUGGUUUUUGUGACAAUUUUUUAGAUGUGACAUCAAAAGCACAAGGAAUAAAACGCAAAAAUAAAUUAGAACUACAUCAAACAAAAAAGUGUCUGCACAACAAAGGAAACAACAAAAUGAAAAGGCAGCACAUGUAGCGGGAGAAAAUAUUUCCAACCAUAUAUCUGAUAAGCUAUUAAUAUCCAAUAUAUAUAAGGAACUCAUAUAACUAGCAAAAAAACUUAAUAACCCAAUUAAUAACCUGUUAAGAUGGACAAGGGACUGAAUAGACAUUUAUUCAAAGAAGACAUACAGAUGGUCAACAGGUAUAUAAAAAGGUGCUUAACAUCACUUAUCAUCAGGGAAAUGCAAAUGAAAACCACACUGAGAUAUCACCUCAUAACUGUUAGAAUCGCUAUUAUCAAAAAGUCAAAAGAUAGCAAGUGUUGGUGAGGAUGUGGAGAAAAGGUGUCCCUUAUACAUUUUUGUUAGGAAUGUAAAUUGAUACAGUCAUUAUGGAAAACACGAUAGAUUUUCUUUAAAAAAUUAAAAUUGGAACUGCUAUAUGAUCCAGCAGUCUCAGUUCCGGGUAUAUCUAAGGAAAACAAAGUCAGUAUCUUGAAGAGGUAUCUGCACUCCCAUGUUCAUUGUAGUGUUACAGUAGUCAAGAAAUGAGCAACAUAGUAUUCAUAGGCAUGGUGGCUUGUACCUGUAAUCCCAGUACUUGGGGGUGGCCAAGGUGAAGGAUAGCUUGAACACAGGAGUUUGAGACCAGCCUAGGAAACAUAGUGAUACCCUAUCUCUACAUAAAAUUUUAAAAAUUAGCUGGGCAUGGGGGUGCAUGACUGUGGUCCCAGCUACUCAGGAGGCUGAGGCAGGAGGAUCACUUGAGCCCAUGAGGUUGAGGCUACAGUGAACUGUGAUUGUGCCACUGUACUCCUGCCUGGAUGACAGAUGGAGACCCUGUCUCAAAAAGAAAGGAAGAAAAUAGUGUGUGUGUGUGUAUCACCAAAUUCCCAAAUAAACACAUCACAUACAUAUACAUACAGACACACACACACACAUAUAUACACACACACAAUGAAAUAUUCAUCCUUUAAAAAGCAGGAAAUCAUGCAAUUUAUGACAACAUAGAUGAACCUGGAGGAUAUUAUGCUAAGUGAAAUAGCCAGACACAGAAAGACAAAUACUGCACUAUCCCAGUUACAUAUGGAAUUCUAAAAAGCUUGAACUCAGAGAAACGGAGAGUAGAAGGGUGGUUACUAGGGGUCAGGGAGUAGGGGAAAUAGGAAAUGUUGAAGGGUACAAACAUAGAGUUAUCAGAUGAAUAAGUUCUUGACAUAACGUCCAGAUUGGUGACUAUAGUUAAUAUAUUCUAUACUUGGAAUUUGCUAAGAGAGUAUAGCUUAGGUAUUCUGACCACACACACGCACACACAUGGCAACUAUGUAAGGUAUAUGUUAAUUGGCUUGAUUGUAGUAAUCAUUUCACAGUAGGUCAAAUAUGUUCUUAAAUAUAUGCACUUUUAAUUUGUCAAUUAUACCUCAAUAAAAGCUGAAAAAAGCAUCAAGAAUAACAAACUUAGGAACCAACUUUACCAAGGAGGUGAAAGUCUUGUACAAUGAAAAUUACAAAACAAUGCUGAAAGAAAUUAAAGUAGACAUAAAGGGAAAACACCUCCUAUGUUCAUGGAUUGGAAGGCCAAUAUUGUUAAGGUGUCAGUACCACACAAAACAAUCUACAAAUCCAAGGUAAUCCCAAUAAAAAUCCUAAUGAUGUUAUUUGCAGAAAGAAGAAACCCCAUCCUAAAAUUCACAUGGAAUCUCAAGGGACCUUGAAUAGCUAAAACAUUCUUGAAAAUGAUGAACAACAUUGGAGGACUCACACUUUCUGAUUUGAAAACUUACUACAGGCCAGGUACAAUGGCCUACACCUGUAAUCUCAGCACUUUUGAAGGCUGAGGUGGGAGGACUUCUGAGUCCAGGAGUUUGAGACCAGCCUGGGGAACACAGGGAGACCUCAUCUCUACAAAAAAUAAAAUAAUUGGCCAGGUGUAAUGGUACACACUUCUAUUCCCAGCUACUCAAGAAGCCGAGGUGGGAGGAUUGCUUGAGCCUGGGAGAUUGAGGUGGCAGUAAGCAGUGAUAAUGCCACUGUACUCCAGCGUGGGCAACAGAGUAAGAAUGUCUGAAAAACAAACAAAAACCCCAACUUAUUACGAAGCUACAGUAAUCAAAACUAUGUGGUAUUGACAUAAAGAUGUAGAGACCAAUGGAAUUGAAUAGAGAGCCCAAAAAUAAACCCUUGUAUACAUGAUCAAAUGAUUCCUGAGAAGAGUGCCAAGACCAUUCAAUAGGGAAAGUGCUGUAUUUUCAACAAAUGGUGCCAGGAUAACUGAAGUUGAGACCCUUACCUAAUACCAUACACAAAAAUUAACUCAAGAGAAUGAAGUUGAGAUCCUUACCUAACCAUGUAUAAAAGAGAAUGAAGUUGAGACCCUUACCUAACACUGUGUACAAAAACUUACUCAAAAUGGGUCAAAGUCCUAAAACUAUGAAGUCUUAUAAGGAAACAUAGGGGAAAAACUUUACAUCAUUGGCAGUGCUUCUUGUAUGCGACACCAAAGGCACAGGCAAUAAAAGUAAAAAUAGAUAAAUUGUACUUGCACAGGCAAUAAAAGUAAAACUAGAUAAAUUUUAAAAAUUUACAUUGUGUGCAUUAAAAUAAUAUCAACUAAGCAAUAAGACAACCUACAGAAUGGGAGAAAAAUUUGCAAAUCACAUACCUGAUAAGGGAUUAAUGUCCAGAUUAUACAGAGAACUUCUAAAAGUCAUCACCAAAAAACAAUGCACCUGAAAAAUGGGCAAAAGGGCCAGGCACGGUGGCUCACGCCUGUAAUCCCAGUACUUUGGGAGGCUGAGGCGGGAGGAUCAUGAAGUCAGGAGAUUGAGACCAUCCUGGCUAACAGGGUGAAACCCCGUCUCUACUAAAAAUACAAAAAAUUAGCCAGGCGUGGUGGUGGGCGCCUGUAGUCCCAGCUACUCGGGAGGCAGGAGAAUGAUGUGAACCCAGGAGGCAGAGGUUGCAGUAAGCCGAGAUGGCACCACUGCACUCAGCUUGGGCAACAGAGUGAGACUCCAUCUCAAAAAAAAAAAAAAAAGGGCAAAGGACUUGGACAGACGUAUCUCCAAAGAAGAUAUACAAAUGGAUAAUAGUACGUGAAAAGUUGUUUAACAUCUCUAGUCAUUAGGAAAUACAAGUCAAAACCACAACCUUACAUACACUCAGAUGACUACUAUUAAAAAAAUAAACACAGCCUAGGCAACAUAGUGAGACCCAUCUCUAGUAUCAGCUACGUGGGAGGUUAAGGUGGGAGGAUAGCCUAAGCCCAGAGGUCUAGGUUGAGGCUGCAGUGUGCCAUGAUCAUGCCACUGCAUUCCAGCCUAAGUGACAGAGCCAGAUCUUGUCUCAAAAAAAUCCCACAUAAACAGAAAAUAACCACUGCUGGAAGGGACAUGGAGAAAUUGGAAUCCUUGUGCACUGUUAGUGGGAAUGCAAAAUGGUACAGCCUCUGUGUUAAACAGUUUGGUGUUCCUUCAAAAAUUAAAAACAGAAUUAUCUGAUCCAUCAACUCCACCUCUGUGUAUACACCCAGAAGGAUUAAAAGCAGUCUCAAAGAUAUAUUUGUAUACCCACGAUUGUAGUGGCAUUAUUUACAACAGUUAAAACAUCAAUGCAACCCAAAUGUCCAUGGAAGAAUGGAUAAGCAAAAUGUGGUAUAUACAUACAAUGUAAUAUUAUUCAGCUUUAAAAAAAAUAGAAAUUUUGACACAUGCCACAACAUGGAUGAACCUCGAGGCCAUUAUGUUAAAUGAAAUACAGCAGUCACAAGAAGAGAAGUACUGUAUGUUUCCACUUAUAUGAGGUAUGUAGAAUAGUCAAAUCAGAGACAUAGAAAGUACAAGGUGGUUUCCAAGAGAUGGCGGUGGUGGGGGGGUUGGGGAAUUAUUGUUUAAUGGAUAUAGAGUUUCAUAAUUACAAAUGACAAGUGUUAUGGAGAUGGAUGAUAGUGAUGAUUGCACAGCAUUGUGAACGUAUCUAAUACAUUCACUGAAUUGUACACUAAAAUUGGUUAGGAUGGUAAUUUUUAUGUUAAGUGUAUUUUGCCACAAUAAAAGAUUUGGAAAUCAACAACAAAUAGAAAUCCCAGAAGAUAACAUAGGAAGAAAUCUAGAUGAUCUUUAGUUUGGUGAUGGCUUUUUAGAUAUGACACCAAAGGCAUGAUUCAUGAAAGAAAUAAUUGAUAAGCUAGACUUUGUUAAAAAUAAAAGUUUCUGCUCUGUAAAACAUACUGUCAAGAGGAUGAAAGGACAGGCCACAGAAGGGAGACAAUACUUGUAAAAGAUAUACCUGAUAAAGGACUCAUCCAAAAUAUAUAAAGAACCUUAAAAACAUAACAAUUAGAAAACAAACAAUCUGAUUACAAAAUGGACUGAAGACCUUAACAGACAUCUCACCAAUGAAGAUAUACAGAUGGCAACUAAGUAUAUGAAAAGAUGCCCCACAUCUUACGUCAUUAGGGAAAUGGAAAUUAAAACAAGAAAUGUGAUAUAUCUACACGCUUAUUAGAAUGGCCAAAAUUCAAAACACUGACAAUACCAAAUACUUGCCAAUAUGUGGGGCAACAGGAACACUCAUCCAUUGCUGGUGGGAAUGCAAAAUGGUACAGCCACUUUGACAUAUACCAUUAAUGGGAAUGUAAAGUGGUGCAGCCCUGGUGGAGAAGAGUUUGGUGGUUCUUCAAAGAAUUAAAAAUGGAAUUAUCAUAGGAUCCAUCAAUUCCACUUCUGAAUGUGUAUACAUAUCCCCCGAAGAAUCCAGAGUAUAUCGAAAUCAGUGGUUUCUUAUAAAAUUAAACAUAUUCUUACCAUGCAGUUCAGCAAUCACAUCCUUGGUAUUUACUCAAAGGAGGUGAAGACUUAUAUUCACAUAAAAAUCUGCACAGAGAUGUUUACAGAAGCUUUAUUUGUGAUUGUUGAAAUUGGAAGCAACCGAGAUGUCCUUCCAUAGGUGAGUAGACAGAUAAACUGUAGUACAUCCAGGCAAUGAAAUAUUAUUCAUCACUAAAUAGAAAUGAGCUAUCAAGCCAUGAAAAGAUAUGGAGGUAAUUAAAAAACAUAUUACUAUGUGAAAUAAGGCAAUCUGAAGAAACUACAUACUGUAUGAUUCCAAUCAUAUUGCAUUUUAGAAAAGGCAAUGCUAUGGAGGCAGUAAAAAGUUCAGUGGUUGCCAAGGGUUGUUGGGGAAGAAGGGUUGAAUAGGCAGUGCACAGAGUACUUUUAGGGCAGUGAAAAUGUACAAAUAUAUGUAAAUAUACGUAUCUGUAUGAUACUAUAAUGGUAGAUACAUGCAUAUUAGUCCGUUCUCACAGUGCUAUAAAGAACUACCUGAGACUGGGUAAUUUGUGAGAAAAGAGGUUUAAUUGACUCACAGUUUUGUAGGCUGUACAGUAAGCAUGGCUGGCAGGCCUCAGAAACUUAAAAUCAUGGCGGAAGGCAAAGGAGAAGCAGGCACAUCUUUACCAUGGCAGAACAGGAGAGGGAAAGAAAGUGAGAUGGGAAGUGCCACACACGUUUAAACAACCAGAUCUCAUGAGAACUCACUAUCAUGAGAACAGCAAGGGGGAAGUUUGCCCCCCACCAGGCCCCUCCCCUGACACAUGGGGAUUACAGUUCAAGAUGAGAUUUGGGUGGGAACACAGAGCCAAACCAUAUCAACAUGUUACACAUUUGUAGAAACCCACAGAAUGUACACCCCAACAGUGAGCCCUAAUGUUAACUAGGGACUUUGAUAAUAAUGUGUAAAUGCAGAUUCAUAAGUUGUAACAAACGUGCCACUCUGGUGGGAGAGUUGGUAAUGGGAAAAGCUCUGUAUGUAUGGGUGCAGUGGGUAUACGGGAAAUCUCUGUACUUACCUCUCAAUUUUGCUGGAACCCUAAAACUGCUCUAAAAAUAUAAAGUCUUUAAAAUACACAUACACACAUACAGACAAUCGAAUAGAGAAUCAUAAUGGUACACUAUCAGAAAAUCAUCAAACACAAAAAAAGGCAGUAAGGGAGGAAAUGUUGUAUUUAAAAAAUGUAAGGCAAAAGAAAAGGCACAAAAUGUCAGAACUUCUUUUUUAUAAGUAAGUACUUUAAAUGUAAGUCGAUUAAAUUCUCCAAAAAGCAGAGGUUGGCAGAAUGGAUUUAAAAGAAAACCAUCAACCUAUGCUGUAUAUAACAAACUCACUUUUGGUCUAAAGACACAAGUAGAUUGAAAGUGAAAGAAUGAAAAAUGAUAUUUCAUACAAAUAGUAACCUAAAGAAAGCUGGAGGUAAUUAUACUAAUAAAAGAAAUAAACUUGAAUUUAAAAAUUGUUAUAGGAGACAAAGGAGGACAUUACAUACUGAGAAAAUGGAAAAUUACUCAAGACUUCGCAAUUGGAAACGUAUACACACCAAAAUAUAGAGCCCCAGAAUAUAAGAAAAUAUACUGACAGAAUUGGAGUGAGAAAGACAGUUCUACAAUAAUACUUAGGGACUUCAAUAACGUACUUUCAGUAAUGGGUAGAGUCAAAGAAGAAAUGAAAACAGAAACUUAAAAAUAUCUUCAGACAAAUGACAGUGGGAACACAACAUACCAAAAGCAAAACAUGCAGCAAAAGCAGUUCUAAGAGGGAAGUUUACAGCAAUAAAUGCCUUGCCUACAUUAAAAAAGAAGAGAUAUUUCAAAUAGCCCAAAAUUGUACCUCAAGGAAUUAGAAAAAGAAGAACAAACUAAAGCCAAAGUUAACAGAAGGAAAUAAUAAAGAUCAGAACAGAGACAAGUUAGAAAGAAAAACCAUAGGGGAAAAAAGUCAGUAAAACUAAGACUUCAAUUUUUGAAACAAAGAAUUGAUUUUUGAAAAAUAAAAUCAACAAACUCUUGGACUAAGAAAGAGGACAAAAUCAGAAAUGAAAAUGGAGAAUAUAUUACAACAGGUACUUCAGAAAUAAAAAGGAUCAUAAGGGACUUUUAUGAACAAUUAUAUCCCAACAAAUUGGAUAACCUAGAGGAAAUGGACAAAUUCCUAGAAAAAAACCAACCUGCUAAGAUUAAAUCAGGAAUAGAAAGCCUGAACAGACCAAUAGCAAAGAGAUCACAGUGGUAAACUAAAGAGCUUCUGCAUAGCAAAAGAAAUUAUCAACAGAGUAAACAGACAACAUAUAGAAUGGGAGAAAAAAUAUUUGCAAACUAUUCAUCUGGCAAAGGUCCUAUGUCCAGAAUCCAUAAGGAACUUAAACCAAUCAACAAGCAAAAAACGAAUAAUCCAAUUGAAUUGGCAAAGGACAGGAACAUACAUUUCUUAAAAGAAAAUACAGAAGUAGCCAAACAAAAAAACAUUCUCAUGAUCACUAAUAAUCAGAAAUGCAAAUAAUGAGGCCAGGCACGGUGGCUCAUGCCUGUAGUCCUAGCACUUUGGGAGGCUGAGGUGCGUGGAUCAUCUGGGGUCAGGUAUUCGAGACCAUCCUGGCCAACAUGGUGAAACCCCGUCUCUACUAAAAACACAAAAAUUAGCCAGGUAUGGUGGCGGUCACCUGUAAUCCCAGCUACUCAGGAGUCUGAGACAGGAGAAUUGCUUGAACCCAGGAGGUGGAGGUUGCAGUGAGCCGAGAUUGCGCCACUGCACUCCAGCCUGGGAGACAGAGCAAGACUCUUUCUCAAAAAACAAACAAACAAACAAAAAAGCAAAAAACAGACAAAAAAAAACAAAACAAAACAACAACAACAAAAAAACACCAAACCAUAAUGGGAUGCCAUCUCACACCAGUCAGAAUGGCAAUUAUUAAAAAGUCAAAAAAAUAAAAGUUGCUGGGAAGGCUGCAGAGAAAAGGGAACGCUUAUACACUGUUGGCAGGAAUACAAAUUAGUUCAGCCACUGUGCUAAGCAGUUUGGAGUUUUCUCAAAUAACUGAAAACAGAACUACCAUCUGACCCAGCAAUCCCAUUACUGGAUAUAUAUUCAAAGGAAAAUAAAUUGUUCUAUCAAAAAGACACAUGCAUUUGUAUGUUCAUCACAGCACUAUUCACAACAGCAAAGACAUGGAAUCCACUUAGAUGCCCAUCAGUGGUGGAUUGGAUAAAGAAAAUGUGGUACAUGUACACCAUGGAAUACUAUGCAGCCAUAAAAAUGAAUGAAUUCGGCCAGGUGCGGUAGCUCUCACCUGUAAUCCCAGCACUUUGGGAGGCCAAGGCGGGUGGAUCACCUGAGGUCAGGAGUUCGAGACCAGCCUGACCAACAUGGAAAAACCCUGUCUCUACUAAAACUACAAAAUUAGCUGGACGUGGUGGCGCAUGCCUCUAAUCCCAGCUACUCAGGAGGCUGAGGCAGGAGAAUCACUUGAACCCGGUAGGCGGAGGCUGCAGUGAGCCGAGAUCAUGCCAUUGCCCUCCAGCCUGGGCAACAAGAGCGAAACUCCGUCUAAAAAAAAAAUAAAAAAAAAAAAUAUAUAUAUAUACAUGAAUGAACUUACGUCCUUUGCAGCAACAUGGAUGCAGCUAGAGGCCACUAUCUUAAGCAAAUUAAUGCAGGAACAGAAAACCAAAUACUGCAUGUUACCACUUGCAAGUGGGACCUAAACACUGAGUAAACAUGGACAUAAAGAUGAUCAGUAGACACUGGGGACUACUUGGGGGAGGAAUGGAGAGGUGGGCUGAAAACCUACCUAUUGGGUACUAUGCUCACUACCUGGGUGAUAGGCUUAUCCACACUCCAAACCUCAUCAUCAUGCAGUAUACUCCAUAUACCAUGCAACAUAUAGACCUGUACAUAUACCCUCUAAAUCAAAAAUAAAAGUUAAAAAAACCCCAAAACCUCAAACAAAGAAAAGCCCAGGACCAGAUAGCUUCAUGACUGAAUACUACCCAAUAUUCAAAGAAUACCAAUACUUCUUAAACUCUUCCAAAAAAAUGCAGCUAUAGGGAAUACUUCCAAAAAAAAAAAAAUGCAGCUAAAGGGAAUACUUCCUAACACAUUUUAUGAGGCCAGCAUCACCUUGAUACCCAGGUGAGCCAAAGGCAUCACAAGAAAAGGAAACUACAGGCCAACAUAACCCAAGAAUACCGAUGCAAAAAUCCUUAAUAAAAUAUUGGCAGACUAAAUUUAACAAUACAUCAAAAAGAUUAUAUAUCAUGUCUAUGUGGAAUUAAUUUCUGGCAUGCAAAUCUUAUUUAAUAUACAUGUAGCAAUCAAUGUGAUACUAACAGACUGAAAGAUGAAAACCACAUGAUCAUCUCAAUUGACACACAAAAAGUAUUUGAUGAAGUUGAACAUCCUUUGUUGAUAAAUUCUAACAGUUCAGGUAUAGAAGGAACACUCCUCAAUAUAACGAAUGCCAUUUAUGAAAAGCCCACAGCUAACGUUAUAAUCAAUGAGGGAAAACAGAAGCCCUUCUACUAUGAACCAGUACAAGGCAAGGAUGCCCACUCUAGCUACUACUACUCAACAUAGUACUGGAAGUACUAGUACAACCAAACAGACAAGAAAAAGAAAUGAAAGACAUUCAAAUCAGGAAGUAAGAAGUAAUAUUAUCUUUAUAUGAAGAUGACAUGAUCCUACAUAUAGAAAACCCCGAAGACUCUGACAAAGCAACCUGUUAGAACUAAUAAAUGAGUUCAGUAAAGUUGUAGGAUAUAAAAUCAAUAUAAAACAGUAGUUGCAUUUCUAUACACAAAUAAUGACCUGGCCAAAAAAGAAAUCAAGAAAACAAUCCCAUUUAUGAUAGCAUCAAAAAAAUUGCUUAGGAAUAAAUUUAGCCAAAAAGAUGAAAGACCUGUACACUGAAAACUAUGAAUCAUUGAUGAAAGAAAUUAAACAAGAUACAAAUAAAUGGAAAGAUAUCCCAUGCUCAUGAAUCUGAAUAAUAUUGUUAAAAUGUCAAUAAUAUCCAAAUCAAUAUACAGAUUGAAUAAAAUCCCUAUCAAAAUCCCAUGGAAAAUUUUUUUAAAUUCUAAAGUUCAUUUGGAAUAGCAAGAACCUUAAGUAGCCAACGAAAUUCUGAAAAUUCUGUUCUGAAAAACAAAGGGAGACUUCAUACUUUCUGGUUUAUUUUACAAAACUAUUGAUCAAACAGUAUGGUCCUGGCAUAAAAAACAAACAUGUAGACCAGUGGAACAGAAUAGAGAGCCCAGAAAGAAAUUCAAAGAUAUAUGAUCAACCAAUUUUCCACAAGAACACGAAGAAAACAAUGCAGAAAGAUAGUCUCUCUCAUAAAUGACGUUAGGAAACCCAGUUCUGUGGCUUGUCCAACCCAUGGCCCACAGACCACAUGUAAGCCCAGGAUGGCUUUAAUGAGGCCCAACACAAAUUUGUAAACUUUGUUAAAACAUUGAAUUUUUUUGCAUUUUUUUAGCCCAUCAGCUGUUGUUAUUGUUAGUGUAUUUUAUGUGUGGCCUAAGACAAUUGUUCUUACAGUGUGGCCCCGGGAAGCCAAAAGAUUUGAUAUCGCUGCCUUACACCAUACAUAGAAAUAAACUCAAAAUGGAUAAAAGACCUAAACAUAAGACCAAAACCCACAACCAGAAGAAAACAUAGGGGAAAAGCUCGACAUGGCUCUGGCAGUGAUUUUUUGGAGAUCACACCAAAAGCUCAGGCUACAAAAACAAAUAAUUGGUAUACCAUCAAACUAAAAAACUUCUGCACAGGAACGGAAACAGUCAACAAAAGGAAAAGGCAACCUAUGGACUAGAAGAAAAUAUUUGCCAACCAUAUAUCUUAUAAGAGGAUAAUAUCCAAAAUUUAUAAGGAAUGCAUACAACUCAAUAACAAGAAAAUAGAUAACCCAAUUAAAAAAUGGGCAGUGGAACUGAGUAGACAUUUUUGCAAAGAAGUUAUAAAAAUGGCAAACACAUAUAUGAAAAGACAUUUAACAUCACUAAUCGUCAGGGAAAUGCAAAUCAAAAUUACUAUGCGAUAUCACCUCACACUCAUGAGAAUAGCUAUUAAGUGUUGGCUAGGGUUAGGGAACUCUUGUACAGUGUUGGUGGGACUGUAGAUUGGUGCAGUCAUAAUGAAAAACAGAAUGGUGGCUCCUAAAGAAAUUGAAAAUAUACUAUCAUCUGACCCACUAAUCCCUCUUCUAGGUAUAUUCCCAAAGAAAAUGAAAUCUCCACCUCAUAAAGAUAUCUGCGCUCCUAUAUUCAUUGUGGCAUUAUAUGCAUGAGUCACGAUAUGAAAACUUACGUGUCCAUUGAUGGAUGACUAAACUGUGGUGUGUAUGUCUACAAUGGAAUAUUAUUCCGCAUUAAAAAAGGAGAUCCUGCCACUUGCCACAUGGAUGAAACUGGAAGACAUUGUGCUAAGUUAAAUAAGCCAUAUACAAAUGAAAAGUUUUAAAUAAUCUCACCUAUAUGUAGAAUCUUAAAAAGAAAAAAGUCAAAUAUACAGAGAUAGAAUAAACUAGUGGUUACCAUGGGCAAGGUGUGGGGGAAGAAAAUGGAAAGAUGUAGGUCAAAGGAUACCAAGUAGCAGAUAUAUAGGAUGAACAAGUCUAGAGAUCUCAUGUAGAACAUGAGAAUAGUUAGUAUAUUGCAUUUGGAAUUUUUGCCAAUUGAGUAGAUCAUAGCUUUUCUCACUCAUACACACAAAAGAAUAACUGUGAGAUGAUGGACAUAUUAAUUUGCAUCACUAUGUUAACGAUUUAACUGUAUGUUUUAUACACUAAAUAUGCAUAUUUUUAAAAUUAAAAAAAAAAAACACAACAAGAUAAUGUACAGCCAGACAGAAGCCCAAUAAGAAAAGAGAGGACUUGAACAAUACCAUAAACCAACUAGACCUACAAACAUAUAUGGACACUCCACCCAACUACACAUUCUUCUCAAGUGCACAUGGAACAUUCCCUAGGAGGGAUGAUAUGUUAGGCCACAAAAGAGUCUCAAUAAAUUUUAAAAUAUAGAAAUCAUACAAAAUAUCUUCUCUAACUACAAUAUAGUGAGGCCAGAAAUCUGUAACAGAAGAAAAACCUAAAAAUUAACAAAUUCAGGGAAAUAAAACUACACACUCUUUAAAAAUUAUUGUGUCAAAGAAGACAUCAGAAGGGAAAUUAUAAAAUACUUUCAAAAAGUGAAAAUGACGACACAACAUACUCAGACUUAUGGGAUGUAGUGAAAGAAGUGCUCAGAGGAAAAAUUAUAGCUGUGAAUGCCCACACUGAAAAAGAAGAAGGAUCCAUAACCUAAUAUUAUACCUUACGUAACCAGAGAAAGAAGAACGAAGUAAACCUAAAGUUAAAAGAGAGAAUGAAAUAAUAUGUAUGAGUGGAGAUAAAACUGAAUUCGAGCUUAAAUAAACAACAGAGAUAAUUUAACAAAACCAAAAGUUGCUUGUUUUUGAAAAGAUCAAAGUUGAAAACCUUUAACUAGAAUGACUAAUAAAAAAUUAGAGAAGUUGCACAUAUCUAAAAUCAUAAACAAAAGUAGGAACACAACAAAAAAAAACAAAAAUAAGAAAAAAAAACAAAAGUGGGAACGAUAUAACUGAUCUUACAGAAAUAAAAAGUGUGAUAAAAGAAUACUAUGAAUAACUGUAUACCAACAAAUUAUAUAACCUAGAUAAGAUGGACGAAUUCACAAAAUACUAAUACAGACCAAAACAGAAAUUGAAAUUAUGAGCAGACCCAUAACAAGUAGAAAGUUUGAAUCAGUAACCAAAAACCUUCCAAUGAAGAAAAUGCUACACAGAUGGCGUCACUGUUGAAUUAUACCAAACACUUGAAGAAUUCACACCAAUCCCUCUCAAACUCUUCCAAAAAACAGAGGAGAAAAAACUUUGCAAUACAUUCUAUGAGGCCAGUAUUACAUGGAUUCCAAAGCCAGACAAAUAUACCACAAGAAAAGACAAACUAGAUACUAAAAUCUUUUAUUUAACAAAGUACUAGUAAGCCAAAUUCAGCAGCAUAUUAAAAAGGAUUAUAUAUCAUGACCACAUGGAAUUUAUCUCAAGAAUACAAGGGUGGUUCAGUACAAGAGUAUCAAUCAAUGUAAUACACCACAUUAAUACAAUGAAGGAUAAAAAAUCCAUGCAAUCAUUUCAAUUCACUCAGAACAAGCAUUUGACAAAAUUCUACAACCUUUCAGGAUAAAAACAUGGAACUUUCAAAAUGUGUUAAAGAGGAUUUGUGAAAAAUCCACAACUAAUAUACUUAAUGAGAAAAAAAACUGAAAAAUUUCUCCCAUAACAAAGAGUAAGAUAUGGCUGUAUGCUUUACCCAGUGCUAUUGAACAAUGUACUGAAAGUUUUAACCAUGACAAUUAGGCAGAUAAAUAAACAAACAGGUAAAUGAAUAGCAUCCAAAUUGGAAAGGAAGCAGUAAAACUCUUUAUUCAAUAAUGACAUCUUCUAUCUAGAAAAUCAAAGAAUCCACAAACUAGUAGAGCUAAUAAACAAGUCCAGCAAAAUUGCAGGGUACAUGUUCAACAUUUAUUUUAAGAAAAUCAUUUGUGCCUCUAUAUACCAGGAAUGAACAGCCCAAGAAGGAAGUCAAUUUUUAAAAUUCCACUUACAAUAGCAUCAAAAAGAGUAAAAUAGCUAGGAAUAAAUUAAAACAAGAAGGUGAAAGACUUCUGCACUAAAGACUACAAAACACUGUUGACAAAAAUUAAAGAAGACUUAAAUAAAUAGAACUAUACAUCCUGUGUUCACAGAUUGGAAGAUUAAAUAUUGUUAAGUUGGCGAUAUUACCCAGUGAUCUACAGAUUCAAUGCAACCCUUAUCAAAAUCCCAAGGGCCUUUUUAUUUGCAGAAAUGUAAAAACUGAUUUUAAAAUGUAAAUGGAAUUUUCCCAGGGCCCCAAACAAUCUAAAAUCAUAUUGAAAAAGAACAAAGUUGGAAGACUCAGGCCUGCCAUUUUCAAAACUUUUACAAAGCUGCAGUAAUCAAAACAAUGUGGUACUGACACAAUGUGGUCUCUAGGACACAAGGAUGGACAUAUAGACCAAUGGAAUAUAAUAGAGAAUGUAGAAAUAAACACUCACAUAUAUGAUCAAUUCAUUUUCAACAAAUGUAUCAAGAAUUCAGUGGGAAGAGUAGUCUUUUAACAAAUGGUGCUGGGGCAACUGGAUCCUCAUAUAUCAAAGAAUGAAGUUGGACCCAUAACUCAUAGCAUAUAAAAAUUAUCUCAAAAUGUAUCAGAGACCAAAAAAUAAGAGUUAAAGGCAUAAAUUUCUUAGUAGAAAACAGGAGUAAAUCUUUAUGACUUGAGAUUGGAAAUAAAUUCUUAGAAAAGACACAAAAAACACAAUAUUGUAAAUGUACUAAGUGACACUGAAUUGUACAUUUUGAAAUGGUUUCUGUUACUUAAAAAAUUUAAAGGGUGCACAGAAGACUAAAAAGCAGCACAGACAGAAUUAUCACCAGAAAAAGAAGACUCUAUAUUAAAUGUCAACAUGGAGAACACAUGUCAGAAAUAGGUAGUCCAGAGCAGCAGCUAUAGUGGAGGCUCUUGCAAAUGACUAAGAUUUGAGGUGGCACCCUCAGAGAAUCACCUCUUGGGGGUAGAUUCGAUUUAUGGAGUAGAUGUAUCUCAGAGACAUGGUAGGAAAGCCAAAGAAUGGUGAGCAUAGCUGCCAUCUAGAAACCACCUACACAUGCAAGCAUAAGAGAUUGGUUGAAAGGUUAUAGCACAGUCACACUAAGGAAUACUAUGCAACUUUAGCAAUGCAAUGAGAAAGAUCUCUGUGAAUGGAUGUUGAGUGAUUUCUAGGAGAUGUUGUUAGGUGAGAAAAGCAAAGUUCAAAAGGGCAUAUACAGAAUAGUACUUUUUUGGGAAAUGAGAAAAUAAUCAUGUCUUAUAAAGAGCAAACACACACAAACUAUAAACUAGAAAACACUGAAACUGGUUACCUAUAAUGGGUAGGGGGAAUUAGGAUGGAAGAGAUAUGGGUGAGAGGAAGAUUUCUCUCAGUAGCUCCUUUUGUUUAGUAUUGACUUUUGGAAGUAUGUUAAUGUUAUAUGUAUUCAAAAAAUAAAAUUAACAAGAUAGGGACCACUUCUGAGGUGGUGGAAUGAGCACCUUGAUAUAACCACUCCCUGAAAAGCAAUGAUAAAACUGGACAAAGAAAUAUAAAAUUGAAAAGUGCUAAUUAAAGAAAAAAUAUUAAGCCUUCCUAAGAAUAGCAGGGUUAUGAUUUAACGUGGGGCUGCCAUCUCCCCACCCAAGCUCAGGGGCACGGUAGGCUUGAGGACCAGCAACAAAGAAGGCUCAUCUGAUUUUGAAUUCCAUAGAAAACCCUAUGCACUAUGUUAAGCAACAAGGAUUUCAGUGGCAAAUAAUUGGAGGCAACCCACAUCACAGCAACCUAAUGUUUCAAUACUGGUUGGGCAAGCGACAGAUUAAGAAAAAUUUUAAAAGGAAUUCUGGAGAUAUGGAAGUUGUACAUGCUUGCAGGAGAGAUCAGAGAGGUUUCCUGCUAUCUACUUAUCCUUGGCUGACUGUGAGACCUUUUGCAAGCAGACAGUAAAAUACAGGACAGAGUUAUAAAGUGCCUGAACUUUGAAUGUCCCAACCCACACAUAGAUCCCCUCAGCAGAGGGUGGAAGAUUCACUGGCUCAAGAUGUUUAAACAAAUGUCUGACUAAUCAUGGCUUGACCACUAGGUUAUGCUGAUCCAGGGGUGACACCAAUGAAGCCAGGCUUACAAAACAAACAUAAGAAUUAAAACAAACAAAACUGAGCAAAGACACCAGUGGCUGCACACUGCAGGAGAACACAGACUCUGCAGAAUCCAUGCAGAGAAGGCAUACACAAGCGAGCAAACAAAUAAAUGAGUAACAGAAAUCAUCCCUGGUUAGGGAGAAGAACUAGAAUCCAGAGUUUCUACGAUAUAUUAUCUAAAGUAAGUUUUUAACAAAAAAAAUGAGAUAUGCAAAGAAACAGAAAAUUGUGACCCUUGAACAAGAAUAAUGAGCAAUAAAUAGGAAUUAUCUCUGAAGGGCCCCAAAUGUUAGGGCGCGAUUUCAAAGUAAGUAUUAUAACUAUGUUCAAAGAACCAAAAGAAACCACAUUAAAGAAUGCAAGUGUGAUGACAAAGACUCAUCAAAUAGAUAAUAUCAAUAUAGAGAUAGAAAUUAGAAACCAAAUAGAAAUUCUGUAGUUGUGAAAUAUAAUAACUUAGGUGAAAAACUCACUAGUGCGGCUAAGCAAAUUUGACCUGGCAGAAGAAAGAAUCAAUGAACUUCAACGCAGAUCCAUAAAGAUGAUUCAGACUGAAGAAUAGAAAGAAAAAUAAUGAAGAAAAAUGAAGAGAUACCCAUUGGAUACCAUAAUAUAGUGGUCCCCAACCUUUUUGGCAUGAGGGACCAGUUUUGUGGAAGACAAUUUUUCCACAGCCAGUUGGGGGAGGCUUUAGUUAGAUUCUCAUACGGAGUGCACAACCUAGAUCCCUCACAUGCUCAGUUCACAAUAGGAUUUGCUCUCUGUGAGAAUCUAAUGCCAUCACUGAUCAGACAGGAGGCAGAGCUCAGGCAGUAAUGCUUGCUUGCCUGCUGCUCACCUCCUGCUGUGUAGCCCAGUUUCUAAUAGGCCACAGACUGGUACCAGUCCAUGGCCCUGGGGUUGGGAACCCCUGUCCUAACAGGAUGUGUAACAAUGUAUGUGUAAUUAAGUUGUAACAUAUAUGUAAUUAAGAGUAGAAAACAUAUGUGGAAUUAAGGAGUAACAACAUAUGUGUUAAUAAGAGUACUGAGAAGGAGAGAAUAGGGCAGACAAAAAUAUUUGAGUAGAUUAUUAACCUGAAGCAGAUUGUUUUUGCUUAAGCUGCUUAUUGUAACCUCCAGAUUACACUUUAAAAAUGGGGGAAAUAAACUAACAAAGGAAUUAGAAUGGUACUCUAGAACAUAUCUAUUCAACCUGCAGAAGGCAGUAAAGGAGGAAGAGAGGAACAAAAGUGAUAUGAGACAUAUAGAAAAUAAAUAACAACAUGGUAGAUAUAAAUCCUUCCAUAUCAAUAAUUAUAUUACAUAUAAGUGAAUUAAAAACUCAAUAAAGAGCAGAGAUUGCCAGACUGCCUUAAAAGCAGGAUCCAAAUAUAUAUGGUCUAUAAGAGUCACAUUCUAGAUUCAAAGACAUAGUUGAAAGUAAAAUGAUGGAAAAAGAUGACAUGCAAACAGUAAUAAGAAAGCUAGAGUGACUGUACUAAAAUCAGACAAAAUUGGCUGGGUGCAGUGGCUCACACCUGUAAUCCCAGCAUUUUGGGAGGCUGAGGCAGACAGAUCACUCGAGGUCAGGAGUUCAAGACCAGCCUGGUCAACAUGGUGAAACUCUGUCUCUACUAAAAAUUAGCUGGGUAUGGUGGCAAAUGCCUGUAGUCCCAGCUACUUGGGAUGCUGAGGCAAGAGAACGGCUUGAAUCCGGGAGGCAGAGGUUGCAGUGAGCCAAGGUCACGCCACUGCACUCCAGCCUGGGCAACAGAGUGAGACUCCAUCCCAAAAAUAAAAUAAAAAUAAAUAAAAUCAGACAAAAUAGACUUUAAAAACAAACCAUGUUAUUAGAGAUACUGAGAAGCAUUUUACAAUGACAAAAGGGAAAAUUUAACAGGAAGAAAUAGAAAUCAUAAACAGAAGUCAUAAAGAAAUAAAAAUUUAUAACAGCUAAAAACACAGCCCUGAAGUAUAUGAAAUAAAACUGUCAGAAAUGAAGAGAGAAACAGACAACUGAACAAUAAUAGACAACUCAACAAUAAUAGUACUAACUCUUGUUGAUUUUCUGUCUUGUUGUUCUAUCAAUUAUUCAGAGUGAGUUAUUGAACUAUUACCCAACUACUAUUCUUGGAUGAAAUGGUGGGAGGUGAGGCUAUGUGGCACUCUGCUUAAUACCCUCCCCUGUUCUGGUGUCAGGGAGACAAAUGUGGAGCUGACUUUUCGUCAGAAACAGUGGUACCCAGAAAGUAGUGGGGUAACAGAUCCCAAGUGCUCAAAGUAAAAAAAAAAAAAAAAAAAAAAAAAAAAAGCCAACCAAGAAUACUGUGUCCAGAAAAGUUUCUUUCAAAAAGAAGGCAAAAUAAAAGCAUUCCCAGAUAAACAAAAACAGAAUUCCUUGUUAGCAGACCAGUUUUGUAAGAACUACUAGAGGAAGUUCUUCAGGCAAAAAGGAAGUGCUCCCAGGAAGUUCACAUAUAUCCAAAAGCAAAGAGCAAGGAGGUAAAUAGGAGCAAAGCUGUUCUAGAGUAAGGAAAUACCACCAGUUGGUAACUCAAAUCCAUAAAAACCAAAAAAGUGGAUCAAAUAUAUGAUAUAAGGAGGUUAAUAAAACAGAAACUAGAAAUAUAUACUUGCUCUCCUUUCAGCUUCUUUAAAGAUAUAUCAUUAUAUAGUAUGAUCAUUAUAAUAGCGCAUAAUAAAGAUGUAAUAUAUGUAACAAUACCACAAAAAGUGGUAAAACUGAAUAAACUCAUACAGGAAUAACUUCUGUAUCUCACCAGGAUUAAUAUAAAUAUGAAGUAAAUUUUGAGACGAUACAUAAGGUAAGCCCUAGAGCAAACACUAAUAACAAAUAGAAUAUUGAAGAAUCAUAAAAGAAAUGAAAAUUUAUAUUAGAAAGUAGUCACUAGAUGGAAAAGAAAGCAGCAAAGGAGAAAUAGAGGAACAAGAAAUAGUACAUAGAAAAGACCAAAAGUAAAACUGUGGAUAUAAAUCUAAUUAUAUCAAUAAUAAUAUUAAAUGUGAAUGGAUUAAACAAUCUAAUCAAAGGCAGGAAUUAUCAGACCAGAUUUGAAAAACAGGAUCCAUCUGUAUUCCAUCUAUAUGAGGCACACUUUAGAUGAUAAAUGCCAACUGAAAGUAAAAGGAUGGAAAAAGAUAUAUCAUGUAAGCAGCAACCAUAAGUAACCUGAAGUGCUAUAAUAAAGUCAAAGGAGAUUUUAAAUUAAGAAUGUUACUGAAGUUAAAUAUGAAUAUCUCAUAAUGAUAAAAUGUCAAUUCAUGAGAAGAUACAAUGAUUAUAAACAUAUAUUCACCUAACAAUAGAGAACUAAAACAUAAGAAGCAAAAACUGACAGAACUGAACAGAGAAAUAGCCAAUUCAACAAUAGUAGUUGGAGACUUCAACACUCCACUUUCAAUAAUGUGUAGUACAAGAAAGAAGAUCAAUAAGGAAACAGAAGAUAUGAGCAACACCAUAAACCAACUAGACUCAAAAGGUAAUUAUAGAGCACUUCGCCCAACAACCAACAUUGAAUAUACAGUAUUUUCAAGUGCACAUGAGACAUUCUCCAAGAAGGACCAUAUGCUAAGUCACGAAACAAACCUGCAUAAAUUUAAAAGGAUUGAAAUAAUACAAGGUAUCUUUUUCUGAAUAUAAUGAAAUAAAAGUAGAACUCAGUAGCAAAGAAAUUAGGGAAACAUACACAUGUGGAAAUUAAACAACACUACAUUCUUAAAUAAUCAAUGGGUGAAAGAAUUCACAAGGGAAAUGGAACGUACUUUGAGAUUAAUGAAAAUGAAGAUACAACAUAACAGAACUUAUGGGAUACAUUUAAAGCAGUGUAAAGAUGGAAUUUUAUAGCUAUGAAUGCCUAUAUCAAAAAAUAAGGCUUCAAAUCAGUAAGCCAACUCUCCACCUCAAGAAACUAGAAAAAGAAGAGCAAACUAAACCUAAAGCAAGUAGAAAAAACAAAAUAAUAAAUAUUAGAGUAGAAAUAAAAUAUAGAAUAUAAAAAUAAUAAAGUCAACAAAUCCAAAAUUUGGUUCUUUGAAAUUAACAAACCUUUGAUAGAUUGGUAAGAGAGAGGGAGAGGGAGAAGAAAAGAAGGGGAGGAAGAAAGAGGGGGAGGAGGAAAGACAGAGAGGGAAGUGCAUGAGGCAAAGGGGGAGAGAGAAAACUCAAAUUACUAAAAUCAGAAAUGAAUGACAGUUUUACAAAUUAAAGCAAAAAAACGAGGCUAGCUGCAGUGGCUCACACCUGUAAUCCCAGCACUUUGGGAGGCCAAGGCAGGAGAAUUGCUUGUGGCCAGGAGUUCGAGAAUUGCUUGUGGCCAGGAGUUCAAGAAUAGCAUGCACAACAAAGCAAGACCCUAUCUCUACAAAAUAUUUUUUGAAUAACAGCUGGUGUUGUGGUGCACACCUGUCAUAGGCUAAGGGGCAAGGAUCACUUGAGACUAGGAGAUCGAGGUUACAGUGAGCUAUGAUUACACCACUCUAUUCCAGCCUGGGCAACAGAGAGAGACUCUGUUUCUCAAAAAGAAAAGGAAAAAGGAAUGAAUGAGGGAAGUAUACUACCAACCUGACAGAAAUAAAAAGGAUUAUGAAGGAACACUAUGAACAAUUUUGUGCCAAUAAAUUAUAAAACUUAGAUGAAAUUGACAAAUUCCUAGAAAGAUGAAAACUAUGAAAACUGACUAAGAAAUAAGUAGAAAAUGUGAAUGGAUCUGUAAUAAGUUAAAGAGAUUGAAUUAGUUAUGAGAACACUAGUUGAAAAGAAAAGCCCAAGAGGGCCAGAUGAGUGAAUCUAACAAAUAUCUAAAGAAUAUCAAUUCUUUAUGACCUCUUCCAACAACAAAAAAAUAGAAGAGAAGGAAAAUUUUUCCAAUACAUUCUUUCAGUCCAGUAUCACCCUGACACCAAAACCAGACAAAAACAUGAAAAGAGAACUUAUAAAAUUUAUUUUACCCAUUUUAGGUAUAUAGUUCUGUGGCAUUAGGUAAAUCCACGCUAUUGUGCUUUAUGCUUUCUUGAUGUUGUAAAUAGAAUUGUUUUCUUAUUUUCAGAUUGUUUUUGACAGUGUAUAGGAAUACUAUUGAUUUUUGUAUUUCAUUACAAUAACUGUGAUGAAAAUGAUGUAAAACCCUCAAAACCCUCAACAAAAUACUAGCAAGUAAAAUCAAGCAAUGUUUAAAAAGGAUUAUACAUUAUAACCAAAUGGGACUUAUUUCAGGAAUGCAAGGUUGAAUUAACAUCUGAAAAUCAAUUAAUGUAAUACACCAUUAUCAACAGAAUAAAAGACAAAACACCACGAUUUCUGUCAGUCUGUUCAGACUGUUAUAACAAAGUAUCACGAACUGGUGGCUUAUAAACACAGAAAUUUAUUUUUUGCAAUUUUACAGGCUUGGAAGUCCAAGGUCAAGGCACUGGCAGAUUCAGCAUCUGGAGAGGACUCGCUUUCUGGUUCAUGAACAGUUGUCUUCUUGUGUCCUCAUAUGACGGAAGAAAAAAAGGAGCUCACUGAGGUCUCUUUUACAAGGGCACUAAUCCAUUCCAUGAGGUCUCCACCCUCAUGACCUAACCACUUCCCAAAGGCCUCACCUCCUAAUACCAACAUUGGGGGUUAGGAUUUCAACAUAUACAUUUUGAGGAAACACACACAUUCAGUCUAUAGCAAUUAAUGAUAGAAUAAAAGACACAGAAAAGCAUUUGGGUGAUAAAAUUCAACACCCUUCCAUGAUGGGAGAAAAAGCCCUACUCAAUAUACUAGGAAUAGAAAGGAACAUCCUCAACCUGAUAAAGGGCAUCUAUUAAAAAUCACAGUUGGCCGGGUGCAGUGGUUCACACCUGUAAUCCCAGCACUUUGGGAGGCCGAGGCGGGUGGAUCACGAGGUCAGGAGAUCGAGACCAUACUGGCUAAUAUGGUGAAACCCCGUCUUUACUAAAAAUACAAAAAAAUUAGCCAGGCAUGGCAGCAUGCGCCUGUAGUCCCAGCUACUCGGGAGGCUGAGGCAGAAGAAUGGCGUGAACCUGGGAGGUGGAGCUUGCAGUGAGCCGUGAUCACACCACUGCAUUCCAGCCUGGGUGACAGAGCGAGACUCUGUCUCAAAAAAAAAAAAAAAAAAAAAAAAAAAAUCACAGAUAAUAUCAUACUUAACAGUGAAUGACUGAAUGUUUCCCCGUUAAGAUCAGGAAUGAGACAAAGAGAUCUGCUCUUUCCACUUCUAUUCAACAUUUAUUGAGUGUUCCAUCCAGGAUAAUUUGGGAAGAAAAAGAAUCCAGACUGAAAGAAAGAAGUAGAACUAUUUGGAGAUGACAUAAAUUUGUGCUGGUCCAGUUUUGUGUUACUAUAAAGGAACACCCGAGGCUGGGUAAUUUAUAAAGAAGAUUUUAAUUGGCUCACAGUUCUUCAGGCUAUACAGGAAAUAUGGCACCAGCACCUGCUCCUGGUGAGGGCCUCAAGAAGCUUACAAUCAUGGCGAAAGGCAGAGGGGCAGGCAUAUCACAUGGCAAGAGCAGGAGCAAGGUGGAGGGAGGUAGCAGAUUCUUUAAACAACCAGCUCUUAGCAUAAACUACCAGAGUAAGAAUUCGCUCAUUACCACGGGGAUGGUACCAAGCCAUUCACGAGGGCUCCGUCCAUGAUCCAGACACCCCCCACCAGACCCCACCUCCAACAUUGGGAAUCAUUUUAAUGAGAUUUGGAGGGACCAAACAUCCAAACCGUAUCAAUGUUGUAUACAGAAAACCCCAAGGAAUCCAUUGUGAAACAAUUACAACGAAUGAGUUCAGUAAGGCUGCAGGAGACAAAAUCAGUAUAUAAAAAUCAAUUGUAUUUCUACACACUGUCAAAAAACAAUCUGAAAAUAUAAUUAAGAAAACAAUUCCAUGUAUAACAUCAAAAAAGAAUAAAGCACAACAGUGCGAAUUUACCUAAUGCCACAUAACUAUAUACUUAAAAUGAGUAAAAUAGUAGAUUUUAUGUAUAUUUUUACCAUAAUAAAGAAAAAAUAAAAUACCUUGGGAAUAAGUUUAACAAGUACAAAACUUAUCCUCUGAAAAUUACAAAACAUUGUUGAAAGAAAAGAAGAUACAAAUAAAUGGACAGACAUUACAUGCUCAUAGACUGGAAGACUUAAUAUUGUUAAGAUGGCAACACUCCCGGAAUCGUGCUGAUCUACAAACUCAACACAAUCCUUACCAGAAUCUCAGCUGGUUUCUUUGUAGAAUAAUAAGCUGAUGUUCAACUUCAUAUGAAAAUGCAAAGGACCCAGAAUAGCAACAAUUUUGAAAAAGAAAAGUUGGAGGCUUCAUACUUCCUGAUCUCCAAAUUGACUACAAAGUAACAGUAUUCGAGAAAAUGUGAUACUGGCAUGAGAUAGAUAUGUAGAUCAAGGGAAUAGAAUCAGAGUGUAAAAACGGAGCCAUAUAUCUAUGGUCAAUUGAUUUUUGACAAGGAUGCCAAGAAUGUUCAAUGCGGAAAGAAUAGUCUUUUGAACAAAUAGUGUUGAAACAACUGAUAUCCACAUGAGAAAAAUCAAUUGGUCCACUCCACAUCAUAUAUAAAAAUUAACUCAAAGUGGAUCAAAGACAUAAAUACGUAACAGAUAAAGCUAUAAAAUUCUUAGGGUAAACAUAAGGGUAAAUCUUUAUGACCUUGGAUUUGGCAGAGGUUUCUUAGAUAUAACACCAAAGAACAAGGAACAAAAGAAAAAAAGUAGAUAUAUUGGACUUCAUAAAAAUUAAAAGCUUUUGUGCUUCAAAAGACACCUUAAAGAAAGUGAAAAGACAACCUACAGAUGGGAGAAAAUAUUUGCAAAUAAUCUAUCUGAUAGGGGACUUGUUACUGGAUAUAUAAAUAACUCCUUCAACUCAAAAACAAAAAGACAAAUAUCCCAACUUAAAGAAUGGAUGAAAAAUCGGAAUAGAAAUUUCUUCAGGGUUGACAUAUAGUUAAUAAACACAUGAAAAGAUGCUCAACGUGAGUAGUCACAGGGAAAUGCAAAUCACACCCAAAAGGAGAUACUGCUUAACAACCACUAAGAUGGCUAUAAUUGAAAAAAGAUAAUAGCAAGUGUUGGUGAGGAUAUGGAGAACUUGCGCAGUGCUCAUAUGCUGGUGGUGAGAAUGUAAAAUGAGGCACCCACUUUGGAAAUAAUUGGUCAGUUCUUCAAAAAGAUAGUUAUCGGCCAGGUGCUGUGGCUCACACCUGUAAUCCCAGCACUUUGGGAGGCCAAGGCGGGUGGAUCACGAGGUCAGGAGAUCGAGACCAUCUCGGCCAACAUGGUAAAACCCUGUCUCUACUAAAAUACAAAAAAUUAGCUGGGCAUGGUGGCAUGUGCCUGUAAUCCCAGCUACUUGGGAGGCUGAGGCAGAGGAAUCGCUUGAACCUGGGAGGUAGAGGUUGCAGUGAGCUCAGAUCGCGCCACUGCACUCCAGCCUGGCGACAGAGCAAGACUUCAUCUCAAAAAAAAGAUAGUGAUCAUUUGACUCAGCUUUCCACUCCCAUGUGUUUUCAUAUCUCUUUCUUUUCUUCCUUUCUUUUUGUUUUUUUGAAACAGUCUUGCUCUGUUGCCUAAGCUGGAGUGCAGUGGCACAGUCUCGGCUCACUGCAACCUCUUCCUCCCGGGUUCAAGCAAUUCUCUUGCCUCAGCCUCCCGAGUAGCUGGAAUUACAGGCACCUGCCACCAUGCCCAGCUAAUUUUUGUAUUUUUAGUAGAGAUGGGGUUUCACCAUGUUGGCCAGGCUGGUCUCGAACUCCUGACCUCAGGUGAUCCACCUGCCUUGGCCUCCCAAACUGUUGGGAUUACAGGUGUGAGCCACCAACACACCCAGCCUUUCAUAUCUCUUUCAUGCCCAGGAGAUAUGAAAACACAUGUCCACACAAAAACCCACAUGUUCUAGAAGCAUUAUUCAUAGUAGUCAAAAUGUGGAAACAAUCUAAAAUGCUUAUCAACAAAUAAAUGGAUAAACAAAAUGUUUAUUCAUUGUAUAUCAUACGAUGGAAGAUUAUUCAUUCAUAAAAGAAUGAAGCACAAGGGCCGGGUGCAGUGGCUCACGCCUGUGGUCCCAGCAGGUUAGGAGGCCGAGGUGGGCGGAUCACCUGAGGUCAGGAGUUCGAGACCAGCCUGGCUAACAUGGCGAAACCCCGUCACUACUAAAAAUACAAAAAUUAGCCGGGCUUGGUGGUGCGUGCCCGUAAUCCCACCUACUUGGGAGGCUGAGGCGGGUGAAUUGCUUGAACCCGGGAGGCGGAGGUUGCAGUGAGCCGACAUCGCGCCACUGCACUCCAGCCUGGGCGACAGAGGGAGACUCUGUCUCGGGGAAAAAAAAAGAAGCACUGAAGCACAAACCUUGAAAACAUGAUGCUAAGUGAAAGUAACCAGUCACAAAGGACCAUACAUUGUAUGAUUCCACUUAUAUAAAAUGUCCAGAAUAGGCAAACCCAUAGAGAGAAAGAUUAGUUAUUGCCUAGGGCUGAGGGGGAUGGAAUAGUGGGUUUGGGGGUGAUAUUUAAAAGGCACUGGGUUUCUUUUUGGAAUGAUAAAAAUGUUCUCAAACUGGAGUGGCAGUUGCACAGCUCUGGGGAUACACAGGCACACUUCACUUUUUUGCACUUUGUGGAUAUUGUGUUUUUAAAAAAUUAAAUGUGUGUGGUAAGCCUGCACUGAGCAAGUCUAUCAGUGCCAUUUUUCCAACAACAUGUGCUCACUUCAUUCUGGGUCAGCAUUUUUUAGCAAUAAAGUGUCUUUCAAUUAAGGUAGGCACAUUGUUUUCUUAGACAUGGGGCUAUUGCACACUUAAUAGACUACAAUAUAAACAUAACUUUUAUAUGCAGUGGCAAACCAAAAAAUUUGUGUGACUUGCUUUAUUGCAAUAUUUGCUUCAUUGCAGUGUACUGGAACCGAACCACAAUAUCUCUGAGGUAUGCCUAUACUAAAAACCAUUCAAUUAUAUUCUUUAAAUGGGUGAAUUGUAUGGUAUGUAAACUAUAUCUCCACAAGGCUGUUAGAAAAAAGCUAUAGCAGAAGAUAUUUGGGGUCCAGGGCCAAAGACUUCUUAGACCUGACAUCAGAAGUGUAAUCCAUAAAAAGGAAACAUUGAAUCUCAUCAAAAUUUAAAAUGUUUGCUCUGUAAAGUACCCUGUUGAGAUGAUGACAAUGAAAGCUACAAUGAAUAAAUAUUUGCACCCUGUUUCUGACUUAAGAUAAGUAUCUAGAAUAUAUAAACAUCUCCCAAAACUCGACAGUUAACAAAAAGUCUAAUUGGGAAAUGGAAAAAUGAUAUCAACAAGAAUUUCACUGCAUAGAAUACAAAAAUGGCAAACAGGCACAUGAAAAGAUGUUCAGUAUCAUCCUAAUGAGGAAAUGUAAAUGUAAACCACAAUGAGAUCUCACUACACACCUAUCUGAAUGGAGAAAAUUAAAAACAGUGUGAACAUCAAAUGCCAGCAAGAAUGCAGAGAAACUAGAUCACUUAGACCUUGCUGGCAGGAAUGGGGAAUGUGAAAUGGUGCAGUCACUCUGGAAAAUCAGUUUGGUAGUUUCUUAUAAAACUAAACAUGCAACUGCCACACAACUCAGCAAUUACAAGCUUGGGCUUUUAUCCCAAAGAAAUAAAAACUUAUGUUCACACAAGAACCUUACAAGAAUAUUCAUGUCAUCCUUAUCAAUGUAUAAGGUUCCCAUGGCUGCUGUAAUACAUUUCCACAAACUUAGUGGCUUAAAACAAGACACGCUUUUUUUUUUUUUCUCACAGUUCUAGAGGCCAGAAGUCUGAAAAGAGUCUUAGGGGACGAAAAAUCAAGGUGUCAGCAGGGCUGGUUCCUUCUGGAGGCUUCAGGGGAGCAUCCCUUCCCUUUCCUUGCCUUUUCUUCUGGAAGCGUUCUUUGGUUUGUGACCCCUUCCUCAAAUCACAUUGCCAUUUCCUGCCCCUGCUUCCGUGGCCACGUAACCCUUUUUCUCUUCUGUAGUCAUUCUUCUGCCUCCCUGUUAUAAGGACCCUUGUGAUUACACCGGGCCCAUUCAGAUAACCCAGGAUGAUCUCUCCAUCUCAAGGUCCUUAAUUUGACACAUCUGCAGAGUGCCCUUUGCCAUAGAAGGCGAUAGUCACAGGUUCUAGGCGUUAGGACCUGGCUACUUUGGGGGCCAUUGUUCAGCCUACUCUGAUUUGUAAUAGCCCAAACUGGGAAUGACCCACAUGUCCUUGGAUGAGGGAAUGGUUAAAUAAACUGGGGUAUAUGUCCAUACCGUGAAACUCCACUCAGCACUAUGAUUUAAUGAACUGUCGCGAUACAAAACAACCGGAAUGAAUCCAGAGAAUGAUGCCGAGCCAAAAGACCCCGUUUCUAAGAUAUCGUGUAUUGUGUGAUUCCAUUUACGUGGCAUUUUUGAAAAGACAAAACUAGAGAAUCAGAGAACAGAUGAGUGGUCACCAGGGAUUGGAGGGAUGGGAUGGGAGAAAGUCCGUGUAAAAGGACAAAUAAUGGGAACCCCGUGGCGACGGGAGCACUCUGCAUCUGGACUCUUGCUGUUGACAUCCUGGUUAUCAUAUUGUGCUAUGGUUUUAGAAGAUGCUACCACUGACGGAAACUAACUAAAGGGUGCAUGGGAUCCCUAUUAUUUCUUACCACUGCAUAUGAAUGUCUAAAAAUAAAAAGCUUGAAAGUCUCAUUUUUUUAAACGGGCAAAAGAUCUGAAUAAAUAUUUCACUAAAGAAGAUACACAAUUGGGCACUAGGCACGUGGAAAAAUGCUCAGCAUCAUUAGGAAAAUGCAAAUCAAAACCACAAUGAGGUAACCAUUCCAACUGGACAGUAUUUUUUUUUCUUUCUGUACUUUCGUGGAAGGGGUGCUAGAGUUGGAAAAUGAUCAUUUUUGCAACUACCACAGUAAAGCCUGGUUUCCAAAAGCAUUUAAAUCUGGAGAGACUUUUUUUUUUUUUUUAACAAGUAGCAGGGUAUAUGCAUGGCCUUAAAGAAUCUCCCCCGAUUGUUUAUUGGUUGCAAGGCAAAAUAUAGUAACUGUAAGGUAGAAAAGUGGAUAACGGCCUCAAUUUGGUGAUCAAAAUAACAUCGUUAAUAAGGGGCAGAUACACUGUGUGCCUCAGGAUGUGAUACACUGAGAAGGACAUCAGGUCACUUACAGAGUACACAACGUGGAUCUAACCUGAGGAAACAUCAGACUCCCCCAAGAAGUGGCAGGACUGUAUCUUUAAAAAAUAUCAGUGUCAUAACAGAGAAAGAGACUAGAAAUGUUCCAGAUUAAACAAGACUGAAGAGACACAUCUAAAGGCAGUACUGACCCUGAACUGGAUCUUGCAGUGGAGGAAAAAAUGCCACAAAGGACAUUGUCAUGGCAACUGACAAAAUGGGAACAUAGGCAUUAAAUUAGGUCCAAGUAUUAUAUUGAUGUUUAAUUGCAGAAGUCAAUAACUGUAUUACUGCUUUCAAAGAUAAUAUCUUUAUUUUUCAGAAAUACACAGCAAAAUGUUUAGGGGCAAAGAGCUGUGGAGUAUGCAACUCACAGAUGUUUCAGAAAAACAUGUUAUGUGAAUAUAAUGUAGAGAAAGGGGUUCAAAUGAUAAAGCAAAUGUGGCAAAAUGUAACAAUUAGUAAACUGGUAAAUCUUAGUGAAGGGUAUGUAGGUGUUUUUAUAUCUCGUGCUUGUAAUUUUUCUGUAGUUCAAAAUUAUGGCCAAAUAAACAGUUUGUUUUGUUUUAAGAAACAAUCCUGAGGGACUGCUUUAGCUCAGCAGGUCACAACUGGGGGCAAUUUUGCCCUCCAGGGGACAUGUAGCAACAUGUGGAGAUGUUUUUGGUGGUCAUAACUGAGGCCGGAGAUGCUGCUAAACAUCCUGCAAUAGACAGGACUUCCUCCCUCAACAAAGAAUUAUCCGGCACUAGAUUUCAAUAGAGGUACAGUGGAGAAACUCUGCCCCACUUGGCUGACAAUAAGUCACUCUGCCAGGACUGGUGGGCAGGAAUGCCGGCCGGGAAAGAGGAACCCUGCCUGUGGAAUUCAAGGUCAGACAAAACGAGAAAAACAACCUGGCUACAUCACUGAAAUUAACAAGCCUAUUCCUGUGUCACGGGCUGAAUUGUGUCCCACAAGGUUUGCAGUUGAAGCCCUGGUCUUUAAUACCUCGGCACGUGACUCAGCAUGUUUGGAGACAGGACCUUUAAAGAGGUGAUGAAGCUACAAUGAGGCUGUUAGGGUGGGCCCUAAUCCAGUGUGACUGGUGCCCUUAAAGAAAAGGAUAUUUGGACACACAGAGAAACACCAGGGUGCAAGUGCCCAGAGCAAUGGUCAUGUGAUGACACAGGAAGAAGGCGGCCAUCUGCAAGGCAAGGAAAGAGGCCUCAGGGAAAGCAGCCUUGCUGACACCUUGAUCUCAGACUUCUAUCCUCCAGAAUUGUGAGAAAUACAUGUCUGCUGUCUAAGCCACCCAGCCUGUGGUAUUUUGUUAUGGCAGUCCUAGCAAACUAAUACAUCCUGGAAAGUUAACACAUAGAAAUAAAAGUUCUGUACAUAGAAACAGGUUCAAGAACCUAUGUUCUUGAACAAAAUGAAUUUUAAGCGAUAGAGAACAUCACAGAGUAUGUACACCAAAGGAAAUUAAGCAGAGAUUAUAAAUUUUAGAAUAGAAUUGAAAUAGAAAUAAAAUUCAAUUAGAGAUAGAAUUAAAUCAAAAUAAAAUUGUUUCAGCAGCCUUAGAGGCAUUUUUACUAUUUUACUGAUUGAGAAAAACAAGAUGCAGAAAGCAGGUAUGAUAUGAUCCCGUGAGUUUGGAAAACAAUGAUAAUGCCUUCAUUAUGUCACAUGUAUUUUAUUUCAUUGAAUAUUAUAUGAACAUCAGGAAAAAUGUAAGACAACAAAUCCUAGAUUAUCAACAUAGGUAACAGAGAGGAGGGGAGCCCAAGCAAACAUAAGAAAAAAGUUCUGUACUGAAACACAUCUAUUCCAUUCUACUCAUCUGUAAAGUUAAAGUGUGAAUAUUGGAAAGUAAUACAACAUUAAGGACACUAAAAGAAAGAAUAGCCCCUAUUCAGAUCUGGUAUUGAUAGAGCCUGAGGCCAAUUUGGCAGCAGACAGAGACACAAGACUGUUUGCUGCAUAUGGGUCCUGGGUGAGCACUUACAUGUUCUAACUCACUCAGUCAACACAGGAGUCCUGGGAGCAGGCAGUUAGGAUCCUGAUUUCACAGAUGUGGAAACUGAGGCACAGAGAAUGCAGUAGCUUGCUUAGGGCCACAUAAGAAAAUGGCAGAGCUGGGCUAUGACCCUAAAGAAGGUUGGCCAUAUAGGCUGUGCUCCAAACCACUCCAUGAAACCUGCCACUCAAUUUUUAGAAACAUAAUUGUACAGGAAGAUUUAAUUUUCCUGUCUCAGAAUUUGGCAGAUGUAUUAGGGUUUUUUUUUUUUAACUAAGGGCAGAGCAGACCUAAAUGAGGCAAUGAAUAAGUAUGUAUACACAAUCCAUCUCAAUGUACAUUUUGUCUGUCCAUGUAUACAAAUAAAACUUUGUGUUAUACAAAUACAGAAGAUAUUUUCUGAGGUCUGUGGAGCAUUUACAAAAAUAAUGAUGUUAUUUUCAUACUUGGAGACAAAGAAAAUCUUCAUUUUAAAAAAAGUGGAGACUUCAUAGGCUACAUCCUUUCACUGUAAGCCUACUAAAUUAGAAAUAAAUAACAGUGAUAAAAAUUUACUGCUUAAAAAUUAAGAAGACAUUAAAAGAACUCUAAAGAGAAAAAUCAAAACACAAAAUUAAAACUAUCAAGAAAGCAAUGAAAAGGAACAUAUUUCAUAAUCAGAUCUACGUGUCACAGCUAAAGCUGCAAUCAGAGGAAAAUUUAUAGCCUUUAAAAAUGCCUUUAGUAGAAGAACUUCAAAUAAAUGAACUAUGACUCUUAAGUAAAAGAAAACAAAAAUAGAGUUAGCCAAGAAAAGGGAAUUAAUAGCUAUAAAAGCUUAGAUUAAUGAAAUAGAUAACAAAGAGUACAAAGAUAGUUUUCUGAUAAUAAAAUAUAAAUAAAACAUAAAUUUCUCAUGUGCUUGAUUAAGAAAAAAGGAGAAAAACCACAAAAGUUCAGGCAUAAAGGAAAAGAAAAACGAAGAGAUGAUAGAGAAGACCAUAAAAUCACUAAAGGAAAAAAUCAGUUGCUACCAAGUGGCAACACAAUUGAAAUGCUUGAGGAAAUUAAAUAGCAAUGAAUAAAUUACUCCAAAAGAUGCAAUAAACUAAUUUAGAACAACAUAUCAUAAAACAGACUAAAAAGAAAUUACUAAAGAUAUCCUAUAAAACAUGUAUCAGGCCCAGAUGGUUUUACAACUCAAUUCUAUUUAACCUCUACAGAAAAGAUAAUCCCAAUGUUCUUCAAACAGUUCCAAGACACAGAACAAGGAAGGUAGAUAAAACUUUGUUUUGUAAACCAUUGUAUUUGCCCCCACAUGAUGGCAGAUUUCAUACUCUUCUGAAAGAUGUACUGUUAUUUCUAGGAUCAGAUAUCAGGGAUGUCCUGCAUCAGUGAUGAGAGUGAAGCUUCACAGUUUUGAUGGCUGUUUAACGGAGAUAUGAUACUUGAAGCAGACCUCCACUGAUGGGUAUGUCGGUGGUUUGCAAUUUUUUGCUAUUUAACAAUUGCAGAAAUCAAUAUCCUGAUGAUGGAUUAUUUUGCAAAUGUGUAAGAUAUGUGUAGAAUAAAUUUCUAGAAUGAUUCAAAGGCAUAUGCAUCUUUAAUUUUGAUUGAAAUUGCCUUAUUUAUCUCCACAGAGGUUUGUAUCAAUUUAUUUUUCUAACAUCAAUGACUGAGACUGAGAGUUUCCAUGUACACAUACCCAUAGAGUGUUAUCAAACUCUUUGAUAUUUAAUAAUCAGAUAAGUUUCAAAAACCCCAUUGCUUUAGUUUGCAUUUCUCUUG